This 53109-nucleotide long non-coding RNA is filed under the name Triticum aestivum (bread wheat). RNAcentral describes it as "long non-coding RNA (TAES_LNC015270)". The record is from RNAcentral. Lineage: Eukaryota; Viridiplantae; Streptophyta; Magnoliopsida; Poales; Poaceae.
CCACGGCGACUUUGCUCGGGCAGGGACGAACGUGAACCGUCCGAUUGGAUCGACCGGCCGGGCCGACCUCGUGCCGCUCAAUGCGCUGGCGCCGUUGCGGGCCUCGCGCAAUUUUCCGGCCCAGUUUGUGUGUGCUGCGCUAAAGCCUGUUAUGGCCGCAUGCGGCCUGUUCGUAGGAGUUUCUGAUUAGUGAUUUCGUCAAGAAAGGGAACUCUCGUCUCUGCUCACCCACGGUUCUCGCUCUUCCUCUUCCAACUGCUGCUGCCAUUUCUUCACUCGGCGAUGGUUCCCCCUGCUCCUGAUCGGUCUGGACGGCGUCGUCGGGGUCGCCCUCCUGGGAUUCGGGCGGCCGUUAUUGCCCGUGUGCGCCGUGCCGGUAUGCGUCUUCCUCCUGCGGAUCCGGGCUGAAUGGCGGCAGCGCGGGCGUGAUCGCAAGACAACGCAGGUCCACCAUGGAGCCACGCUAUACUGCUCCUCUGUCCAACCUAGCGUCGCUGCUCCCAUGCAAUGGAGGUGUCGAGCAGUGUCGCCUGCGGCGUCCAUGUGAUCGUGGCCGCGAGCAGCUGAGUAUCACUGCUCACGGAGAGGACGCUGAGAAUCACGCGUGGGAGGAAGAUCGUAUGGCCGUCCGAAGGGUCGGCAAGGACGGCGACGCCGCAGCAGAGGCCGUGCCUGAGCCCUGAGGCGACCCAGGAGAAGAGCGACACGCAGCUCCAAACUGGGCAACAGGGCUCGACCCGUCCUCAGUUUGGGGCCGUCGCACUCCUACUCCACGCGCGCCUCCUUCCCGCGAUGCGCCUCCAAGCGGAUUAGCAUCGGCCGCCGAGACCCGAGAGCUCGGAAGCGGCCCGUCGAGGUUCGACGCGUCCUCUCUUUAUGUGCUUCUCGCAGUCGUCGCGGGGCGCGCUGUAUGUAUUCCUUCCUCUUCUCACGACGUGCACCUCCUUCUCUUGUUGAUCUUGCUCAACAUACUACACGCGCAGUUCUUCGCCGUGUACGUCGGCCACGGUGACGUCCAGGUCGUCGAAUACCGCGCUACACUCCGCGCUCGCCGAGAAGCUGUGUGCCACAAAGGACCGCAUCAGCGCCUCCGAUGGUGAGCUCUCUAGACUCUAAGAAGCAGCGGGAGAAGACGUUAUUGGACUGUUUCUGCCGUGUAGACGCUGCGGCCGAGGCGCCGGUGUUCUCGACCUCGAGCUCGCCCAACCGGCCGGCGCCUGGAACCCAUCCAACCCGGCUCUAGCAUACGCACGCCGUGUCGACCUCUUGCACGCUAGGACGCCGGCGCCCCGUCGAAGAUGACGCGAGGAGGCGAUCCUGAACCGCAGGACGGCGCUCGCGCCCGCUGCCGCUGCGUGGCGUGCGUUGCGGCUCGCGUGCUGCCCCUGCAUCGUCUAUGAUGCGUAGGUGCUAGGUUUGGAUGUGCGCAGUGUGCAGUGCGUUGGGUGCUGCCCCUGAAGUUCUCUGCAAGACUGCAAGAAGUUCAGUUUAGAAGCGUACAUGGAAAUGUCUGCAAGAAGUUCAGUUCGGAAACGUACAUGGAAAUGUUAAAAAUUCAGAAUGUUCAGAACAAAGCAAAACAGAGAAGCAAGAGAAGGAGUACAAGAUUUGUGCUAGCGCUCAGUCAUAUGCUCCACAAUCUUGCUUACUAAAUAAUGUUCAGAUUAUUGUAACUCUUGCAUCAAAAAGGCCUUUACUAUAUUAACCAUGUAUAAUUUUCAUAUAUCAACAGUUAAGUUCUUAAAACUCUAUGAAACAAACCCCUAUACAACACAGAAUUACAACUGUUAAGACUUUCAAGGUGAUCUUACUAUGCUACACCGAGCUUUCAAGGUGAUCUUACUACGCUACACCUAGCUGAUUUAGCGCUACUUUUUGCAUGCCAUUCUUUGAUGAUUAUUCAUUUGUUGGCCAAUGGUAUUCUGUGAAAAUUUGUUGCUGCCGAGUUUCUGUUCUGGGGAUUUUUCAAAAAAAUUACCUUCCACCAGACUAAACUAUGAUUGACAUUUCUUUCAAAAAAAUACUGGGUCCCGUGUGGUUUGUUCUCGGCACCGGCCGGGAUGGUGGGUGGGCCGAGGGUGAGUGGUGUCCGGCAGCGGAAUUGACGCGCUGCCGCGGCCGUGUCACACUUGUGUCCAGAUUUGAAGCGCAGUCCCGGAUGUGCGACGUCGUGGAGGCUCUUGAGCAGCUGCUGGCGCUCGACGACGACGUGCCCACUUUCAGAUUACUUAAUUUAUUUAGUCAUAUUUAGCUCUCUUUGUUUGCUGCACAUUCCCAAUUGCUUUGCUCAUUCACUUCUAUAGUAGGAUAGGUGAAGGCAUGCCUUAAGAAGCAAAAGAGAGACUUAACGAAGUUGGCGCAGACGUGGCUUCCGCUUGAAAACCAGCUACAUGUUACUCAUUGAAUCGCAAAUCCCAUAAAAUUUGCCUCUAUCGUAUGUGGAUAUUUUUUGUUUUGUACGAUUUAAAUUCAAAUUGGCUUCCUCACUUACAAAUGCAAAUACAGUCUGGUGUUUUUUUAGGGAUACAGCCUGGUGUUAGAAGCAUGUGAGUUGUCUGUUUGAACCAAGUUGGACGUAGAAACAAUGCGCGAGAAAAAAAAUAUUAGAGCAUCUCCAAUAGCUAUCUUAUUUUUGUCCCUCGAAAAAAAGACCUCAUAUUUGUCGUGCGGUGUGGGGAGCAUUUGCUUUUCGUUUUGUCACCCGUGCAAGCAUGCGAUGGUCAUCUGUGAUUUUCGUUGAUGAUUGGUUUCACCAACGUCAGGUCUAUUUUCUCCUCUUCUUGUGAUAUUAUUUGGAUUCCUUGAAAAUUUUGUGGAACUGCUAUUUGUAAUUCUGGAUAUGCUCGGUGGUAGGCUCCAUGUAUGCAUGCAGCUAGCGUUGUGCGGCAUGAUUUUUUUUUUGUCAAAUUGCAUUCGGGCGGAAGGAAAUUGGUUGCUUCCUUUUUCGUCGCUGCUGAGUUGCAUGCGGUGGUCGACUGUAGAUUUCGGGCUGAUGUGACUACGUGCAUUAGGUUAAUUGUGAUGUGACUUUGCGCGUGGGAACCGGAGAUUUUUUUUCUCUUUCCUGCAAAGAAAAAGGAUUUUUUUCAAGAUUUUUUUUGUUGACCAAUGUAGGCGGUUUGCUUUUUUGGUUGCAUCUAAGCAGCUGCUGGGCCUGGUAGAGAAGUGAGCUUUGUGACUUUUAGUAGGGUUGUCUGUUGUUGCAGGUGCUGGCGCACACUCUACGGUAGGUUUUUUUUCUCAGCCGUUUUUCUUCCUUCCCUCUGUUUGCAUUUAUGAGCAUUUAGUGGUAUUGACACAUAUGCAUUGUUCUUGACUUGAAUCUCUCAACAAAUUAUCCAAGUGAUCUAAAACUUUAUCAUGUUAGUAAAAUAUGUAUUAUUCGAUUUUUUUUAAAAUCAAAUGUUUCUAUAAACUUUGAAGUUCCUGUCAAUUAAAAGUUUGAAAACAUAAAUCUCUCAAACCAAUGGUCCAACCAAACUGAAACUUUCCCACAUCAGUCAUAUAUGUAUUCUACAAUUUAUGAAUUUCUUUUCAAAUAUUUCUAAAAAGAUUGGAAUUUCUAUACAAGUUUCACCACAACACAUUCAAAAGGACGCAUGGGCAUGGCUACUGAAAAUUUGGACACUGUGAUUACAAUGAUGAAGGUGAGAGAUACAAUUACUAUGAUGUAAGCCAGAAAUAAAUGUACCGUGUUUAGUCUUGUUAGAAAAGUGUCAAUGUGUACUUCCUGUCAUCUCUAAAAUGCAUCAUACAUGGUGACAAUAAAUGUGCCUUUUUCAGUUUGCUUCUAUGCAUUACCUCCCUUUCUUUGAUCACAACAUUAUCCACAUAUUCUGUUACUUUGAAAUUCAUUGCAUACAACGAAAACAUCACCUAUAAACAUCACGUAUCAAUGGACGCGGAAUUGCACAACUACUACGCCCUUGAAGUCACAAAGGAAAGAUUAUUUAUGGCAAAAGAGAAAGCACAAAUCAAACAAUGGCAGUUCAACAUGGCCUGUCAGCAGGUUAGCUACAAUUGAAAACGAGUUCACAAGGCAAACAAUAAUUCUAGCAAAAGUAUGCAACAACUUCUUUGAUGUAUUACCACUCCACAUGUAUCCUCAGCGCCCACACAGUGAGGAUCCUAUUAUCACAUACACAUGCGCGCACCCUCCUGUCGGACAUGUCCAAGCAUUUGCAAAAUCACUGUACCACUUUCUCACAGGCACCAAUCCUGCAGGAGGAUAUACUACUAUACCAGGAUGAUCUAAUGCAUCAGCAACUGCUUCUCGCUUAUUUAUGUAGUGUGUUUGUGUUUCUAUAAACAGUUUUUCUAGCUCAUUUAUGUAGUGUGUUUGUGUUUCUAUAAACAGUUCUCUGCCUACAGUGAACUGUAUGUAUUUUGAAUAACUAUAGUGUGCCACUUUUAAUUUGUAUCUUUGUAUCCCUACAUUUACAAAAUAUCAAUAGCUUCAUAUGUUCGGUUUCUUCAAUACCUUUAUAUAUUAUUCUGAGAUUAAAUAUGCGUGCACCAAUCCAAAAUUUGAAUCAAUAGAUUGCACAUUUGCGAGUGAUCACCGAGCGCGGCGUGCCGCCGCGCGGGUUAGGCUAGUCACAAACUAAACUGUUUGAAUUUUUUUUACUCAACUGGCCCUUUUGUGCAACGCCCGACAGUCAGGCGCUGCACUUCACUGUGCAGCGCCUAUCUACCGGGCGCUGCACACUUGGUCAACGUGGCACAUCUGGGCCCCGUACCGAGCAGUGCAGCGCCUUGGUUCUAGGCGCUGCACUGUGACUUUGAAACCACCGCGCGCUGGACGUCCCCCCACCCCACCCCAUUCAUUCUACUUUAUAGAACAGAGCGCGGAGGCGGCUUCCUCCUCUCCCUCUCUCAAUCCUCUAUCCCGCCACCACCUUCCUUGAGUUGUCUGAGGCAUCGCUUAUGUGUCCUCUGGUGGUGGUGAUGUGUUGGAAAAAGGAAGGAGCUCUUUAGCGGCUGUUGUAAUUUUGCUAGUAGGCCUUUGGCCCAAAGCCCAACUAAAAUUCUGAAAUUCUCUUGGUCCAUUCAUGCACACAUGUGAGUGGAGUGAGUGAGGCUAAAGUUUAGUCCCACCCUGGAAGUUGAGAGAGAGUUGCACCUCUUUAUAAGGUGAGCUCUUCUACCACUUUUAUGAGCAUGAGAAGAGAAGACCUACACGCGCGCUCCUCCUCCUCGCUUGCCUCGCCACGCCACACCACGCCACGCCUUUAUGUGACCGGAGAUCCCGUGAAGUAGAAGUGGGAGACAAGCUGUUGGUCAGCUGGGAGGAGAGUAUCCCUAUAUUACCUAUCCUACUCCAUGAAGAUGCAAUACUCUCUUGAUCUGCAUGGCAGGUUGAUACUUAUCUUAAUGUGUUCCAAGUGGCUUAUUCGGGUAAGCAGAGAUGUUGUCCUGCAGAAUAUCUUCUGAGGAACACACCUAUAUGAAUUUGACUGUUAACGUCGCAGUCUGUGAGAAUUGGAUGUUCUCUAAUAAAUUCAUGAAAAGGCCCUGGAGUACGACGUAUACGCUCCACCCGCGGGGAAGCUUUGCGGAAGCCCAGUAUCGGUCAAGAAUUUGUGUGAAACUAGUCUCGCAGAAAACUUGUAGUUCAAGGCAUAGUCCACUAUUCAAAUUGUGAUCUAGUGUAGCAUAAAUCUCUAAGUGGAAGUUCAACUUCACAGUCUCUAGUAAGCACCGGUAUAUAAACAAUGUUUUGGAACUAAAUGAUGAGAUGUGCCAAUGAGACUUUGUGGGGGAUUGUUGGAAUUUUGCUAGUAGGCCUUUGGCCCAAAGCCCAACUAAAAUUCUGAAAUUCUCUUGGCCCAUUCAUGCACACAUGUGAGUGGAGUGAGUGAGGCUAAAGUUUAGUCCCACCCCGGAAGUUGAGAGAGAGUUGCACCUCUUUAUAAGGUGAGCUCUUCUACCACUUGUAUGAGCAUGAGAAGAGGAGACCUACACGCACGCUCCUCCUCCUCGCUCACCUCGCCACGCCACGCCACGCCACGCCACGCCACGCCACGACAUGCCGCGGGUUGCGGGAUUGAGCCGAGCCGAGGACAGAGCUAUGCACGUUGUCUAUAUUUUUGCUGCUCGGGAAAAAUUGACGCGUUAAUUACUGAACCGUUCCCGAUUCUUUUGGAUCGUGAUGACUCGGACGUGGGGUUUACUCCCACGACCUACCCGACCCGCACUAUAUAGUCAGGCAGACGUCUACCCUAGCCGCCGCCGCUUCGUAUGGUUUCUCACCACCAUUCCAGAUCAUUGCGCCGCCAAGCAAGUCUUCUCCAUCCCUCCUUUCGGCGUGCACCGAGAGAAGGGACAGCAGGCCUCCGGAACCCCGCCUCUCGUGAUCCUGCACAGGAGAGGGGCGAUCAGGUUUUUGGGGAGCGCACUCGCGCGACUGCUGGCAGCGACGACUUCGCGAACAACGACUUCUUCCCCGACCUCGGCAACCUCAUCCUCGACGACAUGGGCGACAAUGUCAACGCCGGCGGUGCUGCACUCGCUGCACCGUAUGUUAUUCUAUCCUUCUUAUUCCAGAUCAUGGUAGAAUUCAUGUUUCUAGUAUGUGCCCUAGAUGUGAUCUGUUCAUCUACUAUGCUAGUUCGCAUGAUUAGUUUAAUCUCUGCUAUUGCUAUCAUGAUCUACUUCCUAUUUAUUCGGAUUAAAUCUCGUAGUAACUUGCUCAUAUUUCCAAAAAUCCAAAAACCUGAUUAUAGGCAAUUAACUCCGAGUGGUUUUGCUGCGCAUCUGAAGCUGCCUGCCUUUAAGGGGGCGCAAUAUAAGAGGUGGCGCACGAGAGUAGUCUACUGGUUUCAGACCAUGGGCUGCUAUGACGCCACCAAGGGCAAGCCUGAGGCGAUCUUAAUCCAGCACAGCUGGAAGCUUUCGAGAAGAUCGAUACCCUCUUUAAAGGCGCUCUUCUGAGUGUUCUUGAUGACUCCAUUAUGGAUUCGUAUAUGUCGUUUGAGAACAGCAAGGACAUGUGGGCUGCGCUCGAGGCCAAGUUUGGUGCCUCGGACGCCGGCAGCGAGUUGUACGUCAUGGAGCAAUUCUAUGACUACAAGAUGACUGAUGAGCGCCCUGUUGUACAGCAGGCUCAUGAGAUACAGUCGCUCGCAAAAGAACUUGAGUACUUCAAGUGUGUGUUGCCGGAAAAAUUUGUUGUCAGAGGCAUCAUUGCCAAGCUUCCACCUUCGUGGAACAAUUUUGCUACUUCCCUGAAACACAAGAGACAGGAGUUUUCCGUUGCGGAUCUCAUUGGUACUCUUGAUGUUGAAGAGAAGCCGAGAGCAAAGGACACAUGUGCUCGAGUUGCCGAGGGAGGUUCUAGUGCCCACAUGGUACAGAAGAAGAACUCCCAGCCCAACAAGUUCAAAAACAAUAAGAACAAAACUCAGGGCAAAGGCAAGUUUGAUACAAAGAACAAGCCAUCACAUUCUACCAACUUCAAGAAGAAUUCUCAUAAGAAGGGGAAGGGACUUUGCCAUGUCUGCGGUGAUCCUAAUCACUGGGCUCCAAAGUGUCCUAACCACUUUGAGGAGCGCGAACAUGAGAAGAGCGGCAAGUCCGCUAAUGUUGUCAUCGGUGAUAUUGAUAUGAAGGAAUCAGGAUACGGUAUUUUUCCUACCAUCCUUUCAGUAUUUCAAUCCCCUGAUUGGUUAAUUGACACUAGUGCCAAUGUACAUGUUUGUGCUGACGCCUCCAUGUUUUCUUCUUACCAGGCAACAGGGACUUCACCCGUGCUGAUGGGGAACGGGUCACAUGCCAUCGUUCCAGGUGUUGGUACGGUCGAUCUGAAGUUUACUUUGGGGAAGAUUGUGCGUCUGAAGAAUGUUCAUCAUGUGCCGUCCAUAAAUAAAAAUAUCGUUAGCGGUUCCCGUUUAUGUCGAGAUGGUUUUAAGUUGGUUUUCGAAUCCAAUAAAGUUGUAAUUUCUAUGUAUGGACAAUUUGUUGGAAAAGGCUAUAAGAGCGGAGGCUUGUUCUGCCUGUCUUUGUCAGAUAUUUGCACUAAAGUUAUUAAUAAUGUUUGCCACAACAAUGAGUCUGAUAUUUGGCAUUCACGGCUUUGUCACAUUAACUUUGGUUGCAUGACGCGGCUAGCCAAUAUGAAUUUAAUUCCAAAAAUCUCUACUGUCAAAGGCUCUAAGUGCCAAGUAUGUGUGCAAGCUAAGCAACCUCGCAAGUCCCAUAAGACUGCAGAGGCAAGAGACUUGACGCCACUAGAGCUUAUACAUUCUGAUCUUUGUGAGAUGAAUGGCGUGUUGACAAAAGGUGGAAAGAGAUACUUCAUGACGUUGAUUGAUGACUCCACUAGAUAUUGUUAUGUGUAUCUUCUGAAAUUAAAAGAUGAGGCUUUGCCUUUCUUCAAAAACUAUAAAGCUGAGGCAGAGAACCAACUUGAUCGAAAAAUUAAACGGCUUAGGUCCGAUCGUGGUGGAGAGUAUUUUUCCAAUGAAUUUGAUCUGUUUUGUGCGGAACAUGGUAUAAUCCAUGAGAGGACGCCUCCCUACUCACCCCAGUCAAAUGGGGUAGCCGAAAGAAAGAACCAAACUCUAACUGAUAUGGUUAACACCAUGUUAGACACUUCGGGUCUAUCCAAGGAAUGGUGGGGGGAGGCGCUAAUGACUGCGUGUCAUGUCCUAAACCGAGUUCCCACAAAGCAUAAGACCAUGACUCCAUUUGAGGAAUGGGAAAGGAAAAUGUUGAAACUCUCUUACCUACGUACUUGGGGUUGUUUGGCGAAAGUCAAUAUACCAAUUCCCAAGAAGCGCAAGCUUGGACCAAAAACCGUGGAUUAUGUUCUUCUGGGCUAUGCUUUUCAUAGCAUCGGCUAUAGAUUUCUGAUAAUAAAAUCUAAGGUAUCCGACAUGCAUGUUGGUACGAUUAUGGAUUCGAAUGAUGCAACUUUGUUUGAGGACAUAUUUCCUAUGAAGGAUAUGUCGAGUUCAUCAAAUCAGGAGAUACCUACUCCAUCUAGUGAGGAAUUCACUGUAAUUCCUGAACCCACCAUUGCGAUGGAACACAUUGAGAAUCCUGUUGAGGGUGACAAUGGAACUCCCGUGAGGAGUAAGAGACAGAGGACUGCAAAGUCCUUUUGUGAUGAUUUCAUUGUGUACCUCGUGGAUGACACACCUAGGACGAUUUCAGAAGCCUAUGCAUCUCCUGAUGCUGACUACUGGAAGGAAGUUGUAUGUAGCGAGAUGGAUUCCAUCUUAGCUAACGGUACCUGGGAGAUCACUGACCGUCCUUAUGGGUGCAAACCUGUAGGAUGUAAGUGGGUGUUCAAGAAGAAGCUUAGACCUGAUGGUACGAUUGAAAAGUACAAGGCACAGCUUGUGGCCAAGGGUUAUACCCAGAAAGAAGGUGAAGACUUCUUUGAUACUUACUCACCCGUGGCUACACUGAUCACAAUUCGGGUGCUACUAUCACUGGCUGCCUCACAUGGUCUUCUCGUUCAUCAAAUGGAUGUUAAGACAACUUUCCUUAAUGGAGAGUUGAAGGAGGAAAUUUACAUGGAUCAGCCAGAUGGUUUUGUAGUACCUGGUCAGGAAGGAAAGGUGUGCCAGUUAUUAAAGUCUUUAUAUGGCCUUAAACAAGCUCCUAAAUAGUGGCAUGAGAAGUUCGAAAGAACAUUAAUUACUUUUGGCUUUGUAGUAAACGAUGGUGACAAGUGCGUGUACUAUCGCUAUGGUGGGGGCGAAGGAGUUAUUCUUUGUCUGUAUAUCGACGACAUAUUGAUCUUUGGAACCAAUCUUGAUUUAAUCAAGGAGGUUAAGGAUUUAUUAUCUCGCUGUUUUGAGAUGAAGGAUCUAGGAGUAGCUGAUGUUAUCUUAAACAUCAAGCUGUUGAGAGAUGAGAAUGGUGGGACCACACUGCUUCAGUCUCACUAUGUGGAAAAGGUCUAGAGUCGUUUUGGGUAUAGCAACUGCACGCCUUCUCCAACUCCAUAUGAUGCUAGUGUGUUGCUUCGAAAGAAUCGACGAAUUACUAGAGAUCAACUAAGGUAUUCUCAGAUUAUUGGCUCGCUUAUGUAUUUGGCGAGUGCCACGAGGCCUGACAUCCCUUUUGCUGUCAGCAAGAUGAGUCGGUUUGUGUCAAAACCAGGAGAUGAUCAUUGGCAUGCGCUUGAGAGAGUUAUGCGCUAUUUGAAAGGCACCGCGAGCUAUGGGAUUCACUACACCGGGUAUCCAAGGGUAUUGGAGGGUUAUAGUGACUCAAACUGGAUAUCUGAUGCUGAUGAGAUUAAGGCCACAAGUGGUUAUGUUUUUACACUUGGUGGUGGCGCUGUUUCCUAGAAGUCUUGCAAGCAGACCAUCUUAACAAGGUCAACUAUGGAAGCAGAACUCACAACAUUAGACAUAGUCACUGUUGAAGUAGAGUGGCUUCGUGAACUCUUGAUGGACUUACCUAUGGUUGAAAAACCAAUACCCCCUAUCCUGAUGAACUGUGAUAAUCAAACUGUGAUCGUCAAGAUAAACAGUUCUAAGGACAAUAUGAAGUCCUCAAGGCAUGUGAAGAGGAGACUGAAAUCUGUCAAAAAAUUGACGAACUCCAGAGUUAUUACGUUGGAUUAUAUCCAAACGUCGAAAAAUUUGGCAGAUCCCUUCACAAAGGGUGUAUCACGUAAUGUGAUAGAUAAUGCAUCGAUGGAGAUGGGUCUGAGACCACCGCAUGAGUUGUCCAUAGUGGUAACCCACUCUAUGUGAUCGGAGAUCCCGUGAAGUAGAAGUGGGAGACAAGCUGUUGGUCAGCUGGGAGGAGAGUAUCCCUAUAUUACCUAUCCCACUCCAUGAAGAUGCAAUACUCUCCUGAUCUGCAUGGCAGGUUGAUACUUAUCUUAAUGUGUUCCAAGUGGCUUAUUCGGGUAAGCAGAGAUGUUGUCCUGCAGAACAUCUUCUUAGGAACACACCUAUAUGAAUUUGACUAUUAACGUCACAGUCUGUGAGAAUUGGGUGUUCUCUAAUAAAUUCAUGAAAAGGCCCUGGAGUAUGACGUAUACGCUCGACCCAUGGGGAAGCUUUGCGGCAGCCCAUUAUCGGUCAAGAAUUUGUGUGAAACUAGUCUCGCAGAAAACUUGUAGUUUAAGGCACAGUCCACUAUUCAAGUUGUGAUCUAGUGUAGCAUAAAUCUCUAAGUGGAAGUUCAACUUCACAGUCUCCAGUAAGCACCAGUAUAUAAACAAUGUUUUGGAACUAAAUGAUGAGAUGUGCCAAUGAGACUUUGUGGGGGAUUGUUGGAAUUUUGCUAGUAGGCCAUUGGCCCAAAGCCCAACUAAAAUUCUGAAAUUCUCUUGGCCCAUUCAUGCACACAUGUGAGUGGAGUGAGUGAGGCUAAAGUUUAGUCCCACCCCAAAAGUUGAGAGAGAGUUGCACCUCUUUAUAAGGUGAGCUCUUCUACCACUUGUAUGAGCAUGAGAAGAGGAGACCUACACGCGCGCUCCUCCUCCUCGCUCGCCUCGCCUCGCCACGCCACGCCUCGUCAUGACGCGCCGUGGGUUGCGGGAUUGAGCCGAGGACAGAGCUAUGCACGUUGUCUAUAUUUUUGCUCCUUGGGAAAAAUUAAUGAGUCAUUAAUUAAUAAUUAAUGGAUACGUUAAUUACCAAACCGUUCCCAAUUCUUUUGGAUCGUGAUGACUCGGACGUGGGGUUUACUCCCACGACCUACCCAACCCGCACUAUAUAGUCAGGCAGACGUCUACCCUAGCCGCCGCCGCUUCGUAUGGUUUCUCACCACCGUUCCAGAUCAUUGCGCCGCCAAGCAAGUCUUCUCCAUCCCUCCUUUUGGCGUGCAUCGAGAGAAGGGACAGCAGGCCUCCGGAACCCCGCCUCUCGUGAUCCUGCACAGGAGAGGGGCGAUCAGGUUUUUGGGGAGUGCACUCGCGCGACUGCUAGCAGCGACGACUUCGCGAACGACGACUUCUUCCCCGACCUUGGUAACCUCAUCCUCAACGACAUGGGCGACAACGUCAAUGCCAGCGGUGCUGCACCCGCUGCACCGUAUGUUAUUCUAUCCUUCUUGUUCGAGAUCGUGGUAGAAUUCAUGUUUCUAGUAUGUGCCCUAUGUGAUAUGUUCAUCUACUAUGCUAGUUCGCAUGAUUAGUUUAAUCUCUGCUAUUGCUGUCAUGAUCUACUUCCUAUUUAUUCGGAUUAAAUCUCGUAGUAACUUGCUCAUAUUUCCAACAAUCCAAAAACCUGAUUAUAGGCAAUUUACUCUGAGUGGUUUUGCUGCGCAUCUGAAGCCGCCUGCCUUUAAGGGGGCGCAAUAUAAGAGGUGGCGCAUGAGAGCAGUCUACUAUUUUCAGACCAUGGGCUGCUAUGACACCACCAAGGGCAAGCCUGAGGGCGAUCUUAAUCCUGCACAGCUGGAAGCUUUCGAGAAGAUCGAUACCCUCUUUAAAGGCGCUCUUCUGAGUGUUCUUGAUGACUCCAUUGUGGAUUCGUAUAUUUCGUUUGACAACGGCAAGGACAUGUGGGCUGCGCUCGAGGCCAAGUUUGGUGCCUCGGACGCCGGCAGCGAGUUGUACGUCAUGGAGCGAUUCUAUGACUACAAGAUGACUGAUGAGCGCCUUGUUGUACAACAGGCUCAUGAGAUACAGUCGCUCGCAAAAGAACUUGAGUACUUCAAGUGUGUGUUGCCGGAAAAAUUUGUUGCCGGAGGCAUCAUUGCCAAGCUUCCACCUUCGUGGAACAAUUUUGCUACUUCCCUGAAACACAAGAGACAGGAGUUUUCCGUUGUGGAUCUCAUUGGUACUCUUGAUGUUGAAGAGAAGGCGAGAGCAAAGGACACACAUGCUCGAGUUGCCGAGGGAGGUUCUAGUGCCCACAAGGUACAGAAGAAGAACUCCCAGCCCAACAAGUUCAAAAACAAUAAGAACAAAACUCAGGGCAAAGGCAAGUUUGAUACAAAGAACAAGCCAUCACAUUCUACCAACUUCAAGAAGAAUUCUCAUAAGAAGGGGAAGGGACUUUGCCAUGUCUGCGGUGAUCCUAAUCACUGGGCUCCAAAGUGUCCUAACCGCUCUGAGGAGCGCGAACAUGAGAAGAGCGGCAAGUCCGCUAAUGUUGUCAUCAGUGAUAUUGAUAUGAAGGAAUCAGGGUACGGUAUUUUUCCUACCAUCCUUUUAGUAUUUCAAUCCCCUGAUUGGUUAAUUGACACUGGUGCCAAUGUACAUGUUUGUGCUGACGCCUCCAUGUUUUCUUCUUACCAGGCAACAGGGACUUCACCCGUGCUGAUGGGGAACGGGUCACAUGCCAUCGUUCGAGGUGUUGGUACGGUCGAUCUGAAGUUUACUUCGGGGAAGACUGUGCGUCUGAAGAACGUUCAUCAUGUGCCGUCCAUAAAUAAAAAUCUCGUUAGUGGUUCCCGUUUAUGUCGAGAUGGUUUUAAGUUGGUUUUCGAAUCCAAUAAAGUUGUAAUUUCUAUGUAUGGACAAUUUGUUGGAAAAGGCUAUGAGAGCGGAGGCUUGUUCCGCCUGUCUUUGUCAGAUAUUUGCACUAAAGUUAUUAAUAAUGUUUGCCACAACAAUGAGUCUGAUAUUUGGCAUUCACGACUUUGUCACAUUAACUUUGGUUGCAUGAAGCGGCUAGCCAAUAUGAAUUUAAUUCCAAAAAUCUCUACUGUCAAAGGCUCUAAGUGCCAAGUAUGUGUGCAAGCUAAGCAACCUCGCAAGUCCCAUAAGACUGCAAAGGCAAGAGACUUGGCGCCACUAGAGCUUAUACAUUCUGAUCUUUGUGAGAUGAAUGGCGUGUUGACAAAAGGUGGAAAAAGAUACUUCAUGAUGUUCAUUGAUGACUCCACUAGAUAUUGUUAUGUGUAUCUUCUGAAAUCAAAAGAUGAGGCUUUGACUUUCUUCAAAAACUAUAAAGCUGAGGCAGAGAACCAACUUGAUCGGAAAAUUAAACGGCUUAGGUCCGGUCGUGGUGGAGAGUAUUUUUCCAAUGAAUUUGAUCUGUUUUGUGCGAAACAUGGUAUAAUCCAUGAGAGGACGCCUCCCUACCCACCCCAGUCAAAUGGGGUAGCCGAAAGAAAGAACCAAACUCUAACUGAUAUGGUUAACACCAUGUUAGACACUUCGGGUCUAUCCAAGGAAUGGUGGGGGGAGGCGCUAAUGACUGCGUGUCAUGUCCUAAACCGUGUUCCCACAAAGCAUAAGACCAUGACUCCAUUUGAGGAAUGGGAAAGGAAAAUGUUGAAACUCUCUUACCUACGUACUUGGGGUUGUUUGGCGAAAGUCAAUAUACCAAUUCCCAAGAAGCGCAAGCUUGGACCAAAAACUGUGGAUUGUGUUCUUCUGGGCUAUGCUUUUCAUAGCAUCGGCUAUAGAUUUCUGAUAAUAAAAUCUAAGGUAUCCGACAUGCAUGUUGGUACGAUUAUGGAUUCGAAUGGUGCAACUUUGUUUGAGGACAUAUUUCCUAUGAAGGAUAUGUCGAGUUCAUCAAAUCAGGAGAUACCUACUCCAUCUAGUGAGGAAUUCACUGUAAUUCCUGAACCCACCAUUGCGAUGGAACACAUUGAGAAUCCUGUUGAGGGUGACAAUGGAACUCCCGUGAGGAGUAAGAGACAGAGGACUGCAAAGUCCUUUUGUGAUGAUUUCAUUGUGUACCUCGUGGAUGACACACCUAGGACGAUUUCAGAAGCCUAUGCAUCUCCUGAUGCUGACUACUGGAAGGAAGUUGUACGUAGCGAGAUGGAUUCCAUCUUAGCUAACGGUACAUGGGAGAUCACUGACCGUCCUUAUGGGUGCAAACCUCUAGGAUGUAAGUGGGUGUUCAAGAAGAAGCUUAGACCUGAUGGUACGAUUGAAAAGUACAAGGCACAGCUUGUGGCCAAGGGUUAUACCCAGAAAGAAGGUGAAGACUUCUUUGAUACUUACUCACCCGUGGCUACACUGACCACAAUUCGGGUGCUACUAUCACUGGCUGCCUCACAUGGUCUUCUCGUUCAUCAAAUGGAUGUUAAGACAGCUUUCCUCAAUGGAGAGUUGAAGGAGGAAAUUUACAUGGAUCAGCCAGAUGGUUUUGUAGUACCUGGUCAGGAAGGAAAGGUGUGCAAGUUAUUAAAGUCUUUAUAUGGCCUUAAACAAACUCCUAAAUAGUGUCACGAGAAGUUCGAAAGAACAUUAAUUGCUGCCGGCUUUGUAGUAAACGAUGGUGACAAGUGUGUGUACUAUCACUAUGGUGGGGGCGAAGGAGUUAUUCUUUGUCUGUAUGUCGAUGACAUACUGAUCUUUGGAACCAAACUUGAUUUAAUCAAGGAGGUUAAGGAUUUCUUAUCUUGCUGUUUUGAGAUGAAGGAUCUAGGAGUAGCUGAUGUUAUCUUAAACAUCAAGCUGUUGAGAGAUGAGAAUGGUGGGAUCACACUGCUUCAGUCUCACUAUGUGGAAAAGGUCUUGAGUUGUUUUGGGUAUAGCGACUGCACGCCUUCUCCUACUCCAUAUGAUGCUAGUGUGUUGCUUCGGAAGAACCGACAGAUUGCUAGAGAUCAACUGAGGUAUUCUCAGAUUAUUGGCUCGCUUAUGUAUUUGGCGAGUGCCACGAGGCCUGACAUCUCUUUUGCUGUGAGCAAGCUGAGUCGGUUUGUGUCAAAACUGGGAGAUGAUCAUUGGCAUACGCUUGAGAGAGUUAUGUGCUAUUUGAAAGGCACCGCGAGCUAUGUGAUUCACUACACCGGGUAUCCAAGGGUACUGGAGGGUUAUAGUGACUCAAACUGGAUAUCUGAUGCUGAUGAGAUUAAGGCCACAAGUGGUUAUGUUUUUACACUUGGUGGUGGCACUAUUUCCUGGAAGUUUUGCAAGCAGACCAUCUUAACGAGGUCAACUAUGGAAGCAGAACUCACAGCAUUAGACACAACCAUUGUUGAAGCAGAGUGGCUUUGUGAACUCUUGAUGGACUUACCUAUGGUUGAAAAACCAAUACCCCCUAUCCCGAUGAACUGUGAUAAUCAAACUGUGAUCGUCAAGAUAAACAGUUCUAAGGACAAUAUGAAGUCCUCAAGGCAUGUGAAGAGGAGACUGAAAUCUAUCAAAAAAUUGAGGAACUCCGGAGUUAUUACGUUGGAUUAUAUCCAAACGUUGAAAAAUUUGGCAGAUCCCUUCACAAAGGGUCUAUCACGUAAUGUGAUAGAUAAUGCAUCGAUGGAGAUGGGUCUGAGACCCACCGCAUGAGUUGUCCAUAGUGGUAACCCACUCUAUGUGAUCGGAGAUCCCGUGAAGUAGAAGUGGGGGACAAGCUGUUGGUCAGCUGGGAGGAGAGUAUCCUUAUAUUACCUAUCCCACUCCAUGAAGAUGCAAUACUCUCCUGAUCUGCAUGGCAGGUUGAUACUUAUCUUAAUGUGUUCCAAGUGGCUUAUUCAGGUAAGCAGAGAUGUUGUCCUGCAAAACAUCUUCUGAGGAACACACCUAUAUGAAUUUGACUAUUAACGUCGCAGUCUGUGAGAAUUGGGUGUUCUCUAAUAAAUUCAUGAAAAGGCCCUGGAGUAUGACAUAUACGCUCCACCCGCGGGGAAGCUUUGCGGCAGCCCAGUAUCGGUCAAGAAUUUGUGUGAAACUAGUCUCGCAGAAAACUUGUAGUUCAAGGCAUAGUCCACUAUUCAAGUUGUGAUCUAGUGUAGCAUAAAUCUCUAAGUGGAAGUUCAACUUCACAGUCUCCAGUAAGCACCGGUAUAUAAACAAUGUUUUGGAACUAAAUGAUGAGAUGUGCCAAUGAGACUUUGUGGGGGAUUGUUGGAAUUUUGCUAGUAGGCCUUUGGCCCAAAGCCCAACUAAAAUUCUGAAAUUCUCUUGGCCCAUUCAUGCACACAUGUGAGUGGAGUGAGUGAGGCUAAAGUUUAGUCCCACCCCGGAAGUUGAGAGAGAGUUGCACCUCUUUAUAAGGUGAGCUCUUCUACCACUUGUAUGAGCAUGAGAAGAGGAGACCUACAUGCGCUCGCCUCGCUUCGCCACGCCACGCCACGCCUCGUCACGACGCGCCGCGGGUUGCGGGAUUGAGCCGAGCCGAGGACAGAGCUAUGCACGUUGUCUAUAUUUUUGCUGCUCAGGAAAAAUUAAUGAGUCAUUAAUUAAUAAUUAAUGGACACGUUAAUUACUGAACCGUUCCCGAUUCUUUUGGAUCGUGAUGACUCGGACGUGGGGUUUACUCCCACGACUUACCCGACCCGCACUAUAUAGUCAGGCAGACGUCUACCCUAGCCGCCGCCGCUUCGUAUGGUUUCUCACCACCGUUCCAGGUCAUUGCACCGCCAACCAAGUCUUCUCCAUCCCUCCUUUCGGCGUGCACCGGGAGAAGGGACAGCAGGCCUCCAGAACCCCGCCUAUCGUGAUCCUAUACGGGAGAGGGGCGAUCAGGUUUUUGCAGAGCGCACUCGCGCGACUGCUGGCAGCGACGACUUCUUCCCCGACCUCGACAACCUCAUCCUCGACGACAUGGGCGACAACGUCAAUGCCGGCGGUGCUGCACCCGCUGCACCGUAUGUUAUUCUAUCCUUCUUGUUCGAGAUCGUGGUAGAAUUCAUGUUUCUAGUAUGUCCCCUAUAUGUGAUCUGUUCAUCUACUAAGCUAGUUCGCAUGGUUAGUUUAAUCUCUGCUAUUGCUGUCAUGAUCUACUUCCUAUUUAUUUGGAUUAAAUCUCGUAGUAACUUGCUCAUAUUUCCAACAGCGGCGGCUGUGGUGAGGGUUUCCCCGUGUCAUAGGAGGCGGCACGGGGACAUGAGUGUUCAGUUCGCAUGAGGUGUCAUGAUUAUAAUUUUCUCGACAGUGAAGUUCAGUCUACAUGUGCACCCCAUUCAUUUUCCCCGUGUCACGGGAGAUGACACAGGGACACGGGUGUUCGGUUCACAGGAGGUGUCGCAAUUAUACUUUUCUAGACAGUGAAGCUCAGCGACUACAGGUGCACCUGAAAGUGCAACUAUCCCUGGGUGGUUUUGGUAAUUCCUAACAACAUAUAGCUCAUUGAGCUAACAUUAUUCCAAGAUUAAUAUUUCAGGAAAAGCUCAAUGAAUGGCAUGGCAUGGAUGAGGAAAGUGGAUCCCUCAAAAUUCUAAGGACAAAAAGUUUGGCUCAAGCUUGAAGCUCAAGACUCUACAUUUUAUAUGUUAGUGAUCCAAGAUCACAUUGAGUCUAUAGGAAAAGCCAAUACUAUCAAGGAGGGAUGAGGUGUUGCUUAAUGGCUUGCUUGCUCAAAAUCCUUAGUGAUAUGAUCCAAAACCCUCAACUACCUUCCCACACCCACAUAUGACCUAAACCAAAGUCAAACUCGGCCCCACCAAUUCUUUCUAUCCGGCGCCACCGAGUUUCAAAUGUCAUAGCCACUGCCACAAACCCUAGGCAAAUCGGUCUCAUUGAUAGGGAUCUCGGUCUCAUCGAGAUGGGAUUGUAAUCUCUCUGUUUCCCUUCGUAACAUUUCGGUCUUACCGAGAUGAGCGAUCGGUCCCACCGAGAUUGCAAUGUAAACUCUCUGUUUCCCUUUUUUAACAUUUCGGUCUCACCGAGAUGAGCGAAUCGGUCCCACCGAGUUUACCUGACCAACUCCCUGGUUAGCUUAUUACCAAAAUCGGUCCCACCGAGUUUGUGUAAUCGGUCACACCAAGAUUACUUUAUGCCCUAACCCUAACCAUAUCGGUCCUACCGAGUUGCAUCUCAGUCCCACCGAAAAUCCUAAUGGUCACUAGGUUUGCUGAAUCAGUCCGACCGAGUUUAAUCAUUCAGUCCCGCCGAGUUUGGCAAAUUGUGUGUAAUGGUUAGAUUUUGUGUGGAGGCUAUAUAUACCCCUCCACCCACUCUUCAUUCGUGGAGAGAGCCAUCAGAACAUACCUACACUUCCAAUACACAUUUUCUGAGAGAGAACCACCUACACUUGUGUUGAGGUCAAGAUAUUCCAUUCCAACCAUAUGAAUCUUGAUCUCUAGCCUUCCCCAAGUUGCUUUCCACUCAAAUCUUCUUUCCACCAAAUCCAAAUCCUGUGAGAGAGAGUUGAGUGUUAGGGAGACUAUCAUUUGAAGCACAAGAGCAAGGAGUUCAUCAUCAACACACCAUUUGUUACUUCUUGGAGAGUGGUGUCUCCUAGAUUGGCUAGGUGUCACUUGGGAGCCUCCGACAAGAUUGUGGAGUUGAACCAAGGAGUUUGUAAGGGCAAGGAGAUCACCUACUUCGUGAAGAUCUACCGCUAGUGAGACAAGUCCUUCGUGGGCGACGGCCGUGAUGGAAUAGGCAAGGUUGCUUCUUCGUGGACCCUUCGUGGGUGGAGCCCUCCGUGGACUCGUGCAACCGUUACCCUCCGUGGGUUGAAGUCUCCAUAAACGUGGAUGUACGAUAGCACCACCUAUCGGAACCAUGACAAAAACAUCCGUGUCUCCAAUUGCGUUUGAAUCCUCCAAACCCUUCCCUUUACAUUCUUGCAAGUUGCAUGCUUUACUUUCCGCUGCUCAUAUACUCUUUUGCAUGCUUGCUUGAAUUGUGUGGAGAUUGCUUGACUUGUCCUAAGAUAGCUAAAAUCUGCCAAGAACUAAAAUUGGGAAAAGACUAGAUUUUUAUUUGGUCAAGUAGUCUAAUCACCCCCCUCUAGACAUACUUUCGAUCCUACAAGUGGUAUCAGAGUUUUGGUCUCCAUUUGCUUUGAUUUCCAUAGCUUUUGGUGGUCAUAGCCUUGGUUUCACAACCUAGGAGAGUAUGGCGUCUAGCGAGGGAAAUUAUCACCAUAGAGGUCCUUACUUUGAUGGCACUAAUUUUGCUAGUUGGAAGCAUAAGAUGAAAAUGCAUAUUCUUGGACAUAACCCCGCCGUUUGGGCUAUUGUGUGUAUUGGCUUGCAAGGUGAAUUCUUUGAUGGGAAAGAACCAAACCGUGAAGCCACCGCGGAAGAGUUGAAAAUGCUGCAAUACAACGCUCAAGCUUGUGAUAUCCUCUUCAACGGAUUGUGCCCCGAAGAAUUCAACAAAAUCAGCCGUCUUGAGAAUACAAAGGAAAUUUGGGAUACUUUGAUUGAUAUGCACGAAGGUACCGACUCCGUCAAAGAAUCCAAAUUGGAUGUGCUUCAAAGUCAACUUGACAAGUUCAAAAUGAAGGAUGGUGAAGGUGUCGCUGAAAUGUACUCUAGGCUUGCUCUUAUCACAAAUGAGAUUGCCGGCUUAGGGAGUGAAGAGAUGACCGAUAGAUUCAUCAUGAAGAAGAUCCUAAGAGCCUUGGAUGGAAAAUAUGAUACCGUGUGCACAUUGAUCCAAAUGAUGCCAAAUUACAAAGAUCUCAAGCCAACGGAAGUCAUCGGAAGAAUUGUUGCUCAUGAGAUGUCACUCAAGAAUAAAGAGGAACUUCACAACAAAUCAAGUGGUGCUUACAAAGCCUCAUGUGAAGCCCCCACAUCAUCGAGUGAGAAACAAACCUUCAAUGAAGAAUUGAGAUUAAUGGUGAAGAACUUCAACAAAUUCGACAAGAGUAGAAGCAAAGGGAGAAGCUCCAAGUCAAGGUCCUACAAUGACAAAAGAUCUUCUAGUCGAGAGCGAAACUGCUACAAUUGUGGAAGGCCCGGACACUAUUCAAAUGAGUGUACGCCCCCCUACAAGAGAAGAGAAGAUUCUCCCAAGAGAAGAAGUAGAAGAGAAGAAUCACCAUCUAGAGAAAGAAGGAGUAGAGAUGAUCGUUAUGAAUGAAGACCCUCACGGAGAAGCAAGGAUUCAGAAAGAAAGGACAGGUCAUCAAGGAGCUACACAAAACGAAGACAUCAAGCUCAUGUUGGUGAAUGGGUAUCCGGCUCUGACUCCGACAACCACUCCGAGAGAAGCUAUCACUCCGACUCCGAAUAUACUCAAGAUGAAGGUGUUGCCGGUCUAGCACUUGUGACAACCAACUCCUACGACAUAUUUGACUUACCAAAUGAAGGAGUUGGAACAUGCUUCAUGGCUAAAGGCCCAAAGGUAUCACACCCCGAGUAUGUUGAUUUCAAUAGUGAUGAAUAUGACUUGUUAGGUGAUGAUGAUUUACUUGUUGACAACUCUAGUGAUGAAUACUAUGAUGAAACGUCAAUUAAUCAUGCUAAUCAAGAUAAAAUGAAUGACAAUGAUAAGGAGAAGAUUGAGUCUCUAACUAAAGAACUAAACACUCUUAAGUUAGCUCAUGAAACUAUCUUAGGAGAUCAUCGAGAACUUUUAAUGACUCAUGAGAAAUUACGCUUUGAAAAUCUCAACCUUGAGCAAGAGCAUGAGUUCUUAAAAGCAAUCAAUGAUGAUCUUCGCAAGAAAAGUUCUUCUUACAUUGCCAAGCGUUUACUCUUAUCCACUUACAUGCCUCAAGUCAAGUCUAGUAACAAGAACAAGAAAGAUUCUUCCUCUAGUAGUAACAAUAAUCAUGCUAAAUCCAAUAUUGUUGCUUCUAGUAGUUCUCUUGAUUCCACUAAUGAUUCUCUUAGCCAAGUUACACUUGAGCAAGAAAAUAGCUUAUUGAAGGGAAUUAUAGAGAAAGGUGUUUACAAGAGCCUUGCUGGAAGUAAGCAAUUCGAGGAAAUUGUACGCAAGCAAGGAAGGCACCGGAAGAAUCAAGGUGUUGGUUUUGAACGAAAGUUCAAUGCCAAUGGAGUUGAGUGGGAAGAAGAUCAAUACCCCAAGACGAAGUUUGUUCCUUAACAAGAGAAGUAUGAUCCUACUUCUCUCAAAGGGACACAAGCUCAAGAUGAUCUUCCACCACAAGACCAUAAGCAAAAAGGCAAGGACAAGCUUCAAGAGGAAAUUGAUGCAUUUGAAGAAGCUCCUAAGGCCUUGGUCAAGUGGGUUCCCAAGACUACUUCAAGUUCCACUUCAUCAAGUACAACUACAACACCGAGGAUUCCCAUCAAGAUGGUGUGGAUCCCGAAGAAGAAGAACUAGAGAGUUCUUUGAGGGUGACUCCGCCAACAUACUUCACUCUUAUCAUCUUGGCAAGAACAAGUGCGAUCAACUUCCACAUCUUGCACUAGUUCAAGGAGUCACAAACCCUCUUGUUGGUAAGACAAGGGACAAGGUAACCUAAAAGCUUUCAUAGACAUCAUCUUGUGUGUGCAUCACUUUAUGUCUAUGGAUAUCCUUGUUUGUUCCUUGUGGGACUAACCCAUGUAUGUAUUGAAAGUGCAACUCACUCCAAUGGAUAGCUCCAAAUGAUCUACAUCAACAUUGAGCAUCCACAUCUUCAACAUCUACAUGAAGUCAUCAUCGACAAAACCCAAGGUUAGUUCAUCCAUCUUAGGGGGGAUCUCACAUCUAGGGGGAGCUUUACUCUAAGAAUUGAGCUAAAGCAACUCUAAUGGUGUGAACACAACAAAUGCUUUAUGUAAAAGUGGUAACCCCACUUGUGCUUAAACGAUGAGUAUGACCUAUGAUCAAAUGUUCUCAUUUGACUCCUAAGUCAAUAUACUCAUAUAUAGAUGACCUAGUCAUCGCCAAUUGUUUGAUAGAUGCUAGAAUGGGUUGUGCGUGCUUUGCCACAUAUUUCAAUUGCCAUUUUAUUGUGUGAGCAUGUUGAUUGCAUAUUUCACUCAUUCGAGGACAUCCACUUGUUGUUUUGAUUGAUUGUUUUUCUUUUCUUUUGCCAAGUGGAUGGACAAGAAUGCCUAAGAACCCUCUCUAGCUAUCUAUGCUUUUCUCGUCUCAAACUCUAUUCAUGCUACAUCACAAAAUUUGAUCAAGUCAGAUUCGAACCACUCUAUGUGAGGAGCACUCGGAGUCCCCGAUUCGUCAUAGACUUAAACUUCCAAAACUUCUUUGUGCAUUUCGGUCUGACCGAUUCAUCCAUUUCGGUCAUACCGAGAUCACUAAGUCGAUCUAGGUUUUCAAUCUUGGUGCAACCGAUUUGAACCUUUCGGUCACACCGAGUUUCAGUAACUGCUUACAGUUAUGAAUCUCGAUGCCACCGAGUUGUUCCACUCGGUCACACCGACAGGGUCGGGCUAUAUAUACUCACGGGCAAAAUUUUGGAAAUUUCUUCGAAACCCUUCACCCGCGCAUAGCUCACUCUGCCUCCUGGGUCUCCGGAUCGUCCUCCUCAUCGCCAGUUGCCUCCUGCUGCUGGUCUCUGCCGCCGUCAACGGAAUUCUUCCCCGUCGUUGCCGCCGUAGCGAGUUCAUCGCCGAACUAGGGUAUGGACUCGAUCACAGUGCUAUCCCCGUCCGAUUCCUAGCACAUUGUGUUCAUUAUGAUUCUUACCACGAUUGAAAUGAUCUUAUCCAGUCAAAACACUUCGUAGAUUAGAGUUGAAUUGAAAAUUAAGGGUUAGGUUUCCGCCGAAACCAUCUCGGACCCACCGAGUUGUGGAACUCGGUACCACCGAUUCGGCUCAGGCCAUUGCACAUGUAAUUUUCGGUCUAACCGAGAAUUGCAAAUCGGUGUGACCGAGUUCAGGACUUUGUGAAACCCUAGCAGUCUCGGUGCCACUGAACUGUGACUCGGUCUGACCGAGUUCACUAGUUUAGGUUCCAACAGCUGCUUCGGUAUCACCGAGUUUACAAAUCGGUUGAUCCGAAAUGCUUUCUGUGGAAAACUAAAACUAAGUUUUUGACUCAUUCUCUUGCAAAAACCUCUGCAUUUUGUGAUGCUCAUCCACUCUAUCUCAUCUAUAUCUAUUCACAGGGUCUGCUGUCAGUGUUUGCAAUAUGUCUGAUCAAAGUGAUAGCCAGAACAGGUCAGAGGAGCAGGUUCACCUGAGUGAGGGCACUAGUCCCUCUAGCAGUUCAGAUGAUGGUAGCAGGAGCACUCCCAGCAACUUGCUCAAAGAUACCACCAGAACAAGGAAGAAGAAAACUUCAGAAUCUGAGGAUGAAGACUAUGUGGCAGUUGAGGAUGAGGCCACUUCCAAGAAGAAAGUGGUUAAGAAGGAAUAUAGCACUGCUGCUACCACCAAGCCAGGCAUGAAGCAAAAGGUUCCUACAAAGAGAAUUCCAAUGUCUAAGGCCAGAGCAUCUACUCAAGUCCCUUUGGGAUCUGAACCCAAUGAGGCUGCUGCAGAAGGGAAGAAGAGGAAGGAGAGGAUCAAAAAGACCACUGCUAGAGUGCUUGGGAGAUCCUCAAUCAUGAGAGAUUCUGAAGAGGAAGAGGAAGAAGAGGUUGCUGCACCAGCACCCAAGGCACAAAAGCUGAUGGGUGAUGCUAUAAAGUCAGGGGCUGCAAUAUCAAAGCCCAAAGAAGCACCCAAAGCAGCCUCCAAGCCCAAGAGUGCACCUAAGAGGAAUACCAGGAGUAUACCAGCUGCUGAGAAGAACAAGGCCCCAGUGCCUGAAGUUGCUGCUGAUGAAGAUGAUGAAGGACAAGUCCUGAGAAAGCUCAAACCCAAGAUUCCAGACCACAAUGAUGCUCAUCCUGUGGCUGAGAAUAUGAAGAUCAGGAGAGACUCAGGACUGAGGAAAUGGAGAGAGACAGACCCAUAUGCUACAAGAAGAAGGACUGCUGUUGAUUACAGGUUCCACACAAAGGAACAACAGGACUUCUAUGAGACAGAGUUGUUGGACAAGAAGCCUAUAGUGUGUGAAAUGAGGUGGGUCGACUGGAAGUAUAUCAAGGAAAAUGAGAAACACUAUCCUGGUCCAUUUGACAGCUUCAGUGCUUGUGGAGUUGCAGACUUUGCUAGGCAGAAGCUCACAAAGUGGAAUGAGGAGCUCAUAAUGCAAUUCUACUCCACAUCACACUUCUAUCCAGAUGGCAGGAUAGUAUGGAUGUCUGAAGGUAUAAGGUACCACUCAACUAUUGAGGAAUGGGCAAAUCUGAUCAAUGCUCCUAAGGAAGAAGAAGAUGACUUGGAUGUCUAUGCCAAGAAGAAGAUGGAUCACAACUCUAUGGCAAACAUGUACAAGGAGAUUCCUGAAGAUGAUCUUGAGACUCACCAGUUUGGGUCAGUAAAACACUUGCUGUCAGGGCUGCCUACAAUCAAUUGGAUCCUUAGGCACACUCUCUUGCCCAAGUCUGGUGAUCAUAGAAUGAUCAUAGGCCAUGCAAUUAACUUGCUACAUAUAUUUGAUGUGCCACAGAAGUUCAAGGUCAUGAGCCUUAUAGUUGAGACUACCAAGAGGACUGCAGCUGACCAGAAAAGAAGUUGUGGAUAUGCCCCACAGAUCCAGGAGUUGAUAAACUCAAAGAUGGGCACAUGCACAUACUUGUUGGAUAAGGAACACUUGCCUAUCUAUCCUGACUUUGAGGACAAUCAAGUUGUGAUGAAUGAGAAUGAACCAUCAUCAGUACAAGCUCAAGAGAAGAAGGAGAAAGCAAAGAAAGAGAAGGCUGCCAAGAUGCCAACUCAAGAGGAGGCAUCUGAGUACUUUUUGAAAAGCAAGCAAGAUCAGCUUGGCUACCUGAUUGCAUCCACUCUGAGGAUUGAGAAGGGACUGACCACCCUAACUCAAAACCAGGAGAGCUUGGAAAGAAUCGUGGAGCAAAAAUUCUAUGACUUGGAUGUGAAGGUAACUGAGAUUCAGUCUGUUGUGGAGCAACUUCAAGAUGAUAUGCAGGAGAGGAAGGGCAAGACAACCACUGAUGCAUUUGCCAGAGUGCCUAGAGCUUAGAGGUCUGCUGCAGUGCCUGUUCCAGACACUAGAGUCACUUCAUCUGCACCAGCUACAGCUCCAGCGCAACCAGCUCCAGCACCAACUCCUUCAGCUCCAUCCACAUCAACUGAAGCCUUCGUCCUUGGCGUUCUCCGGAUACCACCACCUGAAGGCCAAGCCUGAGAGACGUUUUAGUGCUAUGCAUUUUCUAUGAACGUUUUGGUAACUUGUUGCCAAAGGGGGAGAAAAAUGUAUAGAUCAUAGGCUUCGAGAGAGAGAGAGUUUGUUUUUGUUCUCUCUUGUCUUCUUGGUUGAACUUUGGUUGCUUUUGAUUGCUUGAGAUACUAUGCUAUUAUCUGUGAGACAUUGAUGAUCAUGUGGUUGAUCAUAAGCUACACUUAUGCUUGUUGGAUGAUAUUAUCUUACUUAUCCUUAUAUGAUCAUUCACUUUGCUUGGUGAUGAGUGCAUCUAUUUAAUUCUUAUCAUUUUGAGCGCUCCACCAAGAUGUAUGUGACAUGGAAGAGUAACCCAUGAUCCUAACUCAUUCUGCAUUUGCAGUCCAAAGCAAAUCUUAAGAUAUGCACAAAUUUAGGGGGAGCUCUUGCUUUUCACAUACUUCUCAAAGCGACAAUAUCUUUCACUCUUAUUAUCAUUUGUCGAAGCUUUGAUCUAUAUGUUGUCAUCAAUUACCAAAAAGGGGGAGAUUGAAAGUGCAACUAUCCCUGGGUGUUUUGGUAAUUCCUAACAACAUAUAGCUCAUUGAGCUAACAUUAUUCCAAGAUUAAUAUUUCAGGAAAAGCUCAAUGAAUGGCAUGGCAUGGAUGAGGAAAGUGGAUCCCUCAAAAUUCUAAGGACAAAAAGUUAGCUUGAAGCUCAAGACUCCACAUUUUAUAUUUUAGUGAUCCAAGAUCACAUUGAGUCUAUAGGAAAAGCCAAUACUAUCAAGGAGGGAUGAGGUGUUGCUUAAUGGCUUGCUUGCUCAAAAUGCUUAGUGAUAUGCUCCAAAACCCUCAACUACCUUUCCACACCCACAUAUGACCUAAACCAAAAGUCAAACUCGGCCCCACCGAUUCUUUCUAUCCGGCGCCACCGAGUUUCAAAUGUCAGAGCCACUGCCACAAACCCUAGGCAAAUCGGUCUCACCGAUAGGGAUCUCGGUCUCACCGAGAUGGGAUUGUAAUCUCUCUGUUUCCCUUCGUAACGUUUUGGUCUUACCGAGAUGAGCGAUCGAUCCCACCGAGAUUGCAAUGUAAACUCUCUGUUUCCCUUUUGUAACAUUUCGGUCUCACCGAGAUGAGCGAAUCGGUCCCAUCGAGUUUACCUGACCAAUUCUUUGGUUAGCUUAUUACCAAAAUCGGUCCCACCGAGUUUGUGUAAUCGGUCACACCGAGAUUACGUUAUGCCCUAACCCUAACCAUAUCGGUCCUACCGAGUUGCAUCUCAGUCCCACGGAAAAUCCUAACGAUCACUAGGUUUGCUGAAUCGGUCCGACCGAGUUUAACCAUUCGGUCCCACCGAGUUUGGCAAAUUGUGUGUAACGGUUAGAUUUUGUGUGGAGGCUAUAUAUACCCCUCCACCCACUCUUCAUUCAUGGAGAGAGCCAUCAGAACAUACCUACACUUCCAAUACACAUUUUCUGAGAGAGAACCACCUACACUUGUGUUGAGGUCAAGAUAUUCCAUUCCAACCAUAUGAAUCUUGAUCUCUAGCCUUCCCCAAGUUGCUUUCCACUCAAAUCUUCUUUCCACCAAAUCCAAAUCCUGUGAGAGAGAGUUGAGUGUUGGGGAGACUAUCAUUUGAAGCACAAGAGCAAGAAGUUCAUCAUCAACACACCAUUUUUUACUUCUUGGAGAGUGGUGUCUCCUAGAUUGGCUAGGUGUCACUUGGGAGCCUCCGACAAGAUUGUGGAGUUGAACCAAGGAGUUUGUAAGGGCAAGGAGAUCGCCUACUUCGUGAAGAUCUACCGCUAGUGAGGAAGUCCUUCAUGGGCGACGGCCGUGAUGGAAUAGACAAGGUUGCUUCUUUGUGGACCCUUCGUGGGUGGAGCCCUCCGUGGACUCGCGCAACCGUUACCCUCCGUGGGUUGAAGUCUCCAUCAACGUGGAUGUACGAUAGCACCACCUAUCGGAACCACGACAAAAACAUCCGUGUCUCCAAUUGCGUUUGAAUCCUCCAAACCCUUCCCUUUACAUUCUUGCAAGUUGCAUGCUUUACUUUCCGCCGCUCAUAUACUCUUUUGCAUGCUUGCUUGAAUUGUGUGGAGAUUGCUUGACUUGUGCUAAGAUAGCUAAAAUCUGCCAAGAACUAAAAUUGGGAAAAUGCUAGAUUUUUAUUUGGUCAAGUAGUCUAAUCACCCCCUCUAGACAGACUUUCGAUCCUACAACACCCCAUUCACUUCCCUGGUGUCAUAGGAGAUGACACGGGGACACGGGUGUUUGUUUCGCAGAAAGUGUCACAAUUAUACUUUUCUACACAGUGAAGUUCUGUGACUACAGGUGCACCCAUUCACUUUCUUCUUGUCUAUUCGGAUGUAAUUUUGAAACAACUGAGGUAUCUUGAGAAUGGUCUUGGUGAUCUCGCCCAAAAUACUUUUUUUGAAAUAAAAGGAAGACCCGCGCGCCACAUAAAACUAUUUUCUCAUGUCUUCCUUCUUGUGACAUUUCAGAUGAGAAAAAAGACAUACUAAUAAUCUAUCUGUUCUACUUCUCAUGCAUUCUAAGACAAGAUAAUGCAGAGUUGCAGAUAAGUAUUUUCUUCAGUUAAAAACCAAGGUUAUCAAUAUAGUAGGAGAAUCACAUAGAACCUCAUUAGCAGCACCUACACACACAAAAACAAAUACUUGCACCCAACGUGAUCAAGAUGUUGUCAGUCCCCUUGUUGGUCAUUUGCAAGGAUCAAAUCUCGUAGUGGUAGAUAUAUGAAAUAAAAUACUAAACAAAAAUAAAAGAAAUAAAAAUACAACGAGGUAUUUUUGGAUUUUUAUAUAUGAUAAAAGUAGACCGGGGGCCAUAGUUAUCACUAGAGAGUUCUCUCUCGAACACAUAGCAUACGGUGGGCAAACAAAUUACUGUUGGGCAAAAGAUAGAAAAGUGCAUAGUUAUGACGAUAUUCGAGGCAAUGAUCAUGUAUAUGGCAUCACGUUCGAGACAAAUAUACCGAAUCCUGCCUGCAUCUACUACUAUUACUCAAUCCAUCGACCGCUAUCUACCAUGCAUGUAGGCUAUUAAGUUAAUAAAAAUAAAGUAACGCCUUAAGCAAGAUGACAUGAUGUAAACACAGUAAAUCUAAGAAAUAUGAAUAAACCUCAUUGUUUUAUCCUUAAUGGCAACAAUGCAAAUAAGUGUCAUUUCCCUUUCGGUCACUAGGAUGGAGCACCGCAAGAUCGAACCCAUUACAAAGUACCUCUCUCAUUACAAAAUAAAUCAAUCUAGUUGGCCAAAGUAAAAACAUAUAGAGAGAAAUACAAAAGUAUAAUAAUCAUGCAUAAAUAAGUUCGGAGAAGACUCAAAUAUUUCUCAUGAAUAUUCAGAUCAUGAACCCACAAUUCAUCGGAUCCCAACAAACACACCGCAAAAGAGAAUUACAUCAGAUAGAACUCCAAGAAGAUCAAGGAGAACAUGAUGAAGAUCAACAAGAGAGAAGAAUCCAUAUAGCUACUAGCUAUGAACCCGUAGGUCUGUGGUAGACUACCCACACAUCAUCGGAAAGGCAGUAAGGUUGAUGUAGAAGCCCUCCGUGAUCGACUUCUCAUCCAACAGAGUACCAAAAAAGGACUGCAGAUGGGAUCACAAAAGAAGAGAGACCUGCGGCAGCGAAGAAAGUGUUUCGGGUGGCUCUCUAGUAUAUUGGGAAUAUUUAAGAAUUUAUAGAGGUGAAAUUUGGUCAAGAGGUGCCACGAGGGGCUCACAAGCCUGGGGGAGCCCCCCCGGGGCGCGCUUAGCGAGCUUGUCGCUCCCUCAUUGUAACACCCCGGUGUAAUGAUGCUACAGUAAUCCCAGAGGUCAAGUUAAUCAUUUUGCUAUAACAAUGCUUAGCCACUUUAAUCAAUAUCACAUUUCAAAUUCUAGUUGAAUUCAAUCUCAAAUUGUGUGUGAAUUUCAAAAAAAUACUCAAACAUGAAAACUAAAAUGUUCAUCAUGUGUAAAAUAUUCUCCUGGUAAUAUUGGUGGUGAACCAACAUUUUUGCAAAAUGCCUAUGUGGCCUAAAAUAGCUAAAACAAAAAAGCUUAAAAAAGAAAAAGAAAAGGAGAAAAGGGAGAGGAGGGAGAAAGGCCUCCUCCCCCACUAAUUCCCCUGGGCCUCGGCCCACCCCUCCACCCGAGCCAGCCCACCUAACCCCCCACGGCCCAACUCCCUGCACCGGUUGCCUCCCCCUCCUUCUUGUUCCUCGGAUUCGGCCGCUAUAGGGCGCUCCCACCCACGGUCGGCGCCGCAUCACCUUGUCGACGACGCGGGAGAGGACAAGGCCGCCCCGACGCCUCGGCCUCCACCCAUCUCUCCCACUUGCUCCCUCUCUCUGCCUCUCCCUCUCCGCACCAGCUCCCCUCUCCUCUUGCUCGCUCGCUCCUCUCCCCCUCUGCCUGAGCGCGCCCGCCGCCGUGCCUCGCCCAUCCUCGCGGCCACCGAGCCCCGUUCGCCUCGCCGUCGUGCCCAUCAUCUCCGCUGUCGUCGUCUACCCCAUCCACAUCCGUGAGCGCGAGCCGGGAGCCACUGCAGCGAGCCCGACAACCUCUUCUUCCCCUACAACUGUCUUCGCCUUCGUCGCCGUCGAUCUUCCCCGAACCCACCUGAGCACACCUACAGGGCCAACGUGAGCACGCGCCUCUUUCGCCUCUCUUCCCCGCGCGUUUCCGGCGCCGUAGUUCCUCCUCCCCGUCGUGCCCGAAUGCGGCUCCGCGCGAGCUCGUCGCCGGCAUAGCCACGACGACCAUAGGGACCCGUCUGUGCCACCAUCACGCUCACCGCACAGCGUAGGCCUCGUUUAGCCGCUUGGGUUGCCCGCAAAUGCACCCCAGCCCCGUUCCCGACGACGACCGAAGUCUGGCGUACGCCUCGCCGCUCGCCCUCGAUGUCCCCGACCACCGCAGCCUCUGCCACCACCCCAGAUCGCCUCGCCGUCGUCUUCUCAUUCGAACGAGCCCGACCGUGCUAAAAACGAUGUCCCGUAGCACCAUCCUCGUCAUCGCCCAAGCGCGACCGUCGCCCUCGUUGCUCGUCGGCGCCGCUCCGGCCAACUCCGGCGACGCCACCGCCUGCAGUCGACGCACCGUCGCGCGUGUUCGAACGGUGCCAACCGCACGCGAAACGGCCGCCCCUAGCACGUUUCCGACGAGGCCCGGGUGCCCCCGCCGUGUUCUGACGUCGCCGGCGGCGAAACGCCGGCCGCCGCCUACGUGGUUGGCCUGGGGCCACCCCAGUGCCACUGCUAGUGGGCCCUGCGGGUCCCAGUUGACUGGGUUGACCCAGUCAACUGCUGACCAGGCAGCCAGUGCCACUGACAUGCUGGCCCCACCGCCUAUUUUAAUUAAUUAAAAUGUUUUAAUUAUCUAAAACCUAAUUAGUUACUAAUUAGAGAUUGACAUGUGGGGCCCAGUAGCUAUUUAACCUUAGUUUAGUUUAAUAUAAACUCUGUUAAUUACAGUGGCUAAUAUGUGGGCACCACCUGUCUGGUUUGACUGGUCAGCUGACCUGUUGACAUGCUGUCGUCAGCAUUGCAUCAUGCUGAUGUCAUAUUUCCCUUUCUAUUAAUUUAAAUAAUUCUAGGAUAUUGUUUAAAUCUUUAGAAAUUCAUAGAAAUUAAACCGUAGCUCGGAUGAAAAUGUUUUCUAUAUGAAAGUUGCUCAAAAAAAUCCAACGAAUCCAAAUGCACGGUCCAUGCACCUGUCACAUGCCCCUAGCAUGCUGAACAUGGAACCAUCCCCUCUCUUUCAUCUGUCCGGAAUCCACCUAACACCGGUAAUUCAUCCUCGGAUGUUUAUCCCCUCCGUCUGCAACGUGUAGUACUACGUUAGGGCAACCCUAGCUCUGCCCGUCAUCAUGUUAUGCCUUGUGAUGCAUUGUUUGCUCUAUAUUUACUGUUUCUUCCCCCCCUUCUCUCCGGUAGACCCUGAGACCGAUGAUGCCGCUGUGAUCGGCUACGUCACCGACGACCCCUCCUUCUUGUUUGAGCAACCAGGCAAGCAAACCCCCCUUGAGCAUUCCGAUAUCGCCUAUUUCUUUCCCUCUCAUGCUUGCAUUAGAACUGCUACUGCUUUCUGUAUUAUCCUACUCUGAUGCAUAGCCUGUUGGUGUUACCUGCUUAUCCUAAACUGUUUAGUAUAGGUUGAUUAGUGAUCCAUCAGUGACCCCCACCUUGUCCCAGUUGCCCCGCUUUAUGUUCGAUGACUCGAUCAACGUGAUCGAUGUCUAGGCCCCGACACCGCAGAUCACCCCCCUAGUUGUACGACUCUGCAGAGUUACCAUCGAGUGCCGAGGGUGGAACCUCAUACAUCAUUCCUGAUGAGACCUCUGUAGUGUAGCUAAUUGGUCGUGGUCAUCGAGGGUGAUUUCCUCCUUAACCACUUCCGACACGUCUCUGUCGUGAAACCCCUCAAGUGUGAACCUCGAGGGUGGAUCCUCUUACGUUCACCUUGAUGAUUACAUCGAGUGGAAUUUACCGGGGGUGAUUCCUCGGGUUUUCCCCUUGAUGUUUGCACACAUGGAUACUUGGACUUUACAGUUGUUACUUGGAUAGGCGGGUCGACCCUGAGGGGUACCCGUGAGUGAUGUGGAGUCGGGUUGACCUGGAAGGUGCCCGCGAGAUACUUACGAGGCGUGCCCGGGCAUUAUUAGCCCUUUCCGCAAGUACUCGAGAUGGGGCAACGGGGUCACAUCGAUCGUGAGUCUAUGCUCGUUACCGCGCGCUCCUAAUCCACUACGAUUUAGAUAUUUGAUCCGAGGGGCCUCUGGCCUAAUAGCACUAACCAUCACGUGGGCAUAGUAUGGGCGUUUUGCGUCGUAUACAUCAGCCGAAGCUUAAUAGACGUCAGCGACUGAGCGGCGCGCGCCGGGUUGGACUGCGUAAGCUCCUGCCUUGUUGAAGGAGGUAGCUAGGUCUGCUCACCGGUCGCGUACGCAACGUGCAGGAGUUCCUAGGGAGAUGGCCCAUGACCCCUGGGGGCAUAGGUUUAGUCCAGCGUGCUGACCUCUCUAUUAAGUCUAGGUUGGGUUGCGGCGUAUUGUUUGGCCGAGGCCGGGCAUGACCCAGGAAAGUGUGUCCGGCCGGAGUUAAUCGAGCAUGGUGGGUAAGUUGGUGCACCCCUGUAGGGAAGAAAACAUAUAUCGAUAGCCUGUCCUACGGUAACGGAAACUUGGAGUUGUAUCCCGAUCGAUACAACUAGAACUGGAUACUUGAGAUGAGACAUGGAGAUGAGACUUGGAUAUGAGACGAUAACUGGAUAGUAUGGCUCUGGGAUUGCUUUCUCGCAGGGAGUCGAGAAAGGAUCUCUGGCCAAGGUUGAUAACACUACUACUUUACAUUAUGUUGAUCUGUACUCUUCUAUAUGCUGCAAGAUGCUUGAAGAUGCUUGAAGACGCUUGUCUUCGAUAGGCUAGGCUUUCUCCUUCUCUUCUGGCAUUCUGCAGUUUAGUCCAUAGAUACAACCCAUUUCCUUUGAUACAGAUGCAUACUUAGUUUAUAUCUGAUGUAAGUCUUGCGAGUACUUUGGAUGAGUACUCACGAUUGCUUUGCUACUUCUUUUUCCCCCAUACCCAAUUGUUGCGACCAGAUGACGGAUCCCAGGAGCCAGACGACGCCACUGAUGACUACUACUAUGUGAAGACCGCAGACAACUAGGAGUAGUUAGGAGGCUCCCAGGCAGGAGGCCUUGCCUUUUCGAUCGUUGUUGCUUUUGUGCUAGCCUUCUUAAGGCAAACUUGUCUAACUUAUGUCUGUGCUCAGAUAUUGUUGCUUCCGCCGACUUUUGUGUAUUCGAGCUUAUGUAUUCGAUCCCUCGAGGCCCCUGGCUUGUAAUAUAAAGCUUGUAUUAUUUUAAUUUGUGUCUAGAGUUGUGUUGUGAUAUCUUCCCAUGAGUCCUUGAUCUUGAUCGUACACAUUUGCGUGUAUGAUUAGUGUACGGUCAAAUCGGGGGCAUCACAAGUUGGUAUCAGAGCCGACUGCCUGUAGGUAGCCCCCUUUCCAACUCCUUGGCCGAAGUUGAGUCUAGUCACUAAAAAGCUUUUACUAACAUUGGCUGUGUGUCUUAUGGGCCCACAUCACCAUAUGGGUGGUAUUAGGAUCUUUUAGUCCUCGAUCUUUACUCUGGGACUCUGAUCUCUCUUCUAUUUGGGUUAAAAUGGUUUUACUAACUCUAACAUUAGGAUCCCAUGACCACAUUCACCCCAAAGCUGGAUAAGCCAUAGUUUUUCUUUAAAAUAGUAUUCUGGAUAGUACACACACUUGCGUGAUAACAACGAAGUGGUAUCCAUCGUACCUCUUUCAUUAUGCAUGUUUCAUCAUGAAUGAUCCUUGUUUUUACAAAUGCUCAAUGCUGAACUACCCCUGUUACUUGUUAGCAGGAUGGUUAGAACCGCUGGUCAUGGCCGUGGUGCCAAUGAUCCACCAUCGCCCGAAUUCUUUGCUAGAAUGAUGCAACAAUUUGAGCUGAACCGCCAGUUCAUGGAAGGAAUGAUGGCUCAUUUUCCUCGCCCGAACAUGAAUCAACAGCCAACCCCAGUAACUUUGCAAGACUUCAUGCGUCUCAACCCAACUAUUUACCGCAGCUCAACUCAACCCCUUGAUGCUGAUGACUGGCUCUGCGACAUCACAUAUGAAAUGGAGUCUGCUAGUGUGGCCCCUACUAGCUAUGUCACCUUUGCAUCUUUCUUUCUGAAGGGUCCCACUGCUCAAUGGUGGGAGAGCCACAUGCGUACCCUGCCUGUUGGAACGGUCAUCACCUGGCCGGAUUUCCAAGCUGCUUUUCGUGCCCGCUUCAUUCCUCAAGGAAUCAUGGACAGGAAGUGUUGGAAAUAUGCCCUAGAGGCAAUAAUAAAUUAGUUAUUAUUAUACUAUAUUUCAUUGUUCAUGAUAAUCGUUUAUUAUCCAUGCUAGAAUUGUAUUGAUAGGAAACUCAGAUACAUGUGUGGAUACAUAGACAACACCAUGUCCCUAGUAAGCCUCUAGUUGACUAGCUCGUUGAUCAAUAGAUGGUUACGGUUUCCUCACCAUGGACAAUGGAUGUCGUUGAUAAUGGGAUCACAUCAUUAGGAGAAUGAUCUGAUGGACCAGACCCAAUCCUAAGCCUAGCACAAAGAUCAUGUAGUUCAUAUGCUAAAGCUUUUCUAAUGUCAAGUAUCAUUUCCUUAGACCAUAAGAUUGUGCAAUUCCCGGAUACCGUAGGAAAGAACGCUUCCGCUUAGCGAUCUACAAGGGUAUGUAGAUGCACUCCCCUUCCCUUGUUGCUAGAUUACUCCAUAGAUUGAUCUUGGUGAUGCGUAGAAAAUUUUAAAUUUCUGCUACGUUCCCCAACAGUGGUAUCAGAGCUAGGUCUAUGCGUAGUUUCUAUGCACGAGUAGAACACAAAGCAGUUGUGGGCGUUGAUCUUGUCAAUUUACUUGCCGUUACUAGUCUUAUCUUGAUUCGGCGGCAUCGUGGGAUGAAGCGGCUCGGACCGACCUUACACGUACUCUUACGUGAGACUGGUUCCACCGACUGACAUGCACUAGUUGCAUAAGGUGGCUAGCGGGUGUCUGUCUCUCCCACUUUAGUCGGAUCGGAUUCGAUGAAAAGGGUCCUUAUGAAGGGUAAAUAUAAAUUGGCAUAUCACGUUGUGGUUUUGGCGUAGGUAAGAAACGUUCUUGCUAGAAACCUAUAGCAGCCAUGUAAAAACUUGCAACAACAAUUAGAGGACGUCUAACUUGUUUUUGCAGCAUAUGCCUUGUGAUGUGAUAUGGCCAAAAGGAUGUGAUGAAUGAUAUAUGUGAUGUAUGAGAUUGAUCAUGUUCUUGUAACAGGAAUCACGACUUGCAUGUCGAUGAGUAUGACAACCGGCAGGAGCCAUAGGAGUUGUCUUAAUUUAUUUAUGACCUGCGUGUUAACAUAAACGUCAUGUAAUUACUUUACUUUAUUGCUAAAGCGUUAGCCAUAGUAGUAGAAGUAAUAGAUGAUGAGACAACUACAAGAAGACACGAUGAUGGAGAUCAUGAUGAUGGAGAUCAUGAUGAUGGAGAUCAUGGUGUCAUGCCGGUGACAACGAUGAUCAUGGAGCCCCGAAAAUGGAGAUCAAAAGGAGCAAAAUGAUAUUGGCCAUAUCAUGUCACUAUUUGAUUGCAUGUGAUUUUUAUCAUGUUUUACAUCUUAUUUGCUUAGAACGACGAUAGCUUAAAUAAGAUGAUCCCUCACUAAAAUUUCAAGAAAGUGUUCCCCCUAACUUUGCACCGUUGCGAAGGUUAGUCGUUUUGAAGCACCACGUGAUGAUCGGAUGUGAUAGAUUCUAACAUUCUAAUACAACGGGUGUAAGCCAGAUUUACACACGCAAUACACUUAGGUUGACUUGACGAGCCUAGCAUGUACAGACAUGGCCUCGGAACACGGAAGACCGAAAGGUCGAACAUGAGUCGUAUAGAAGAUACGAUCAACAUGAGAUGUUCACCGUCGAUGACUAGUCCGUCUCACGUGAUGAUCGGACACGGCCUAGUCGAUUCGGAUCAUGUUUCACUUAGAUGACUAGAGGGAUGUCUAUCUGAGUGGGAGUUCAUUAAAUAAUUUGAUUAGAUUAACUCAAUUAUCAUGAACAUAGUCUAAAUUGUCUUUGCAAAUAUGUUGUAGACAAAUAGCUCACGUUGUAGCUCCCUGUUUCAAUACGUUCCUAGAGAAAGAUUAAGUUGAAAGAUAUUGUAAGCAAUGAUGCGGACUAGGUCCGUAGUCCGAGGAGUGUCCUCACUUCUACACAGAAGGCUUAUGUCUUUGAUGCACCGCUCGAUGUGCAAACCCCUACAACGUCGUCUGUGGAUGUUGUGAACACCUGACAGACACAUCCUGAUGACUACUUGAUAGUUUAGUGCACCAUACUUUACGGCUUAGAAUCGGGAUUCCAAUGACGUUUUGAACGCCAUAAGACAUAUGAGAUGUUCCAAGAGCUGAAAUUAGGAUUUCAGGCUCAUGCCCGUGUUGAGAGGUGUGAGACCUCUGACAAGUUCUUUAGCCAACAAGAUGGAGGAGAAUAGCUUAGCUAGUGAGCAUGUGCUCAGAAUGUCUGGGUGCUACAAUCACUUAAAUCAAGUGGGAGUUAAACUUCCAGAUAAGAUAGUGAUUGAUAGAGUUCUCUAGCCACUAUCACUAAGCUACUAGAUCUUCGUGAUGAACUAUGACAUGCAAGGGAUGGAGUUGAUCCCGAAGCUGUUCACAGUGCUUAAGACCGUAAAAGGUAGAAAUCAAGAAGGAGCAUCAAGUGUUGAUGGUUUAACAAGACCACUGGCUUCAAGAAGGGCAAGGGCUAGAAGGGAAACUUCAUGGAUGGCAAACCAGUUGCCGCUCCAGUAAAGGAACCCAAGGUUGAACCCAAACCUGAGACUAAGUGCUUCUAUUGUAAGGGGAACGGUCACUAGUAGCGGAAUUACCCCAAAUGCAUGGUAGAUAAGAAGGCUGGCAACUUCAACAAAGUAUAUACGUGUUAUUAAUGUGUACCUCGCUAGUACUCCUGGUAGCACCUGGGUAUUGGAUACCGGUUCAGUUGCUAUUACUGGUGACUUGAAGCAAAAGCUACGGACUAAACGGAGACUGGCUAAGGGCGAGGUGACGAUGUGUUUUGGAAGUGUUUCCAAAGUUGAUGAGAUCACCAUCGCACGCUCCAUCUGCCUUCGGGAUUAGUAUUGAACCUAGAUAAAUGUUAUCAGGUGUCUACGUUGAGCAUGAAUUUGAUUAGAUCAUGUUCAUUGCAAUACGGUCAUUCAUUUAAGUUAGAGAAUAAUGGUUAUUCUGUUUACAUGAAUGAUACCUUUCAUGGUCAUGCACCCUAUGUGAAUGGUUCAUUGAAUCUCGGUCGUGGUAAUACACAUGUUCACGCCAAAAGAUGUAGAGUUAAUAAUGAUAGUACCACUUUCUCGUGGCACUGCCGCUUAAGUCAUAUUGGCGUAAGAUGCAUGAAGAAACCCCAUGUCGAUGGAUGUUUGGAGUCACUUGAUUUUGAAUUGCUUGACACAUGCGAGCCAUGCCUCAUGGGCAGGAUGACUAAGACCCCGUUUUCAGGUACAAUGAAACGGGCAAGUGACUUGUUGGAGAUCAUGCAUGCUGAUGCAUGUGAUCCAAUGAGAAUUGAAGCGUGCAGUGGAUAUCGCUAUUUUCUCAUCUUCACUGACGAUUUGAGUAGAUAUAGGUAUAUCUACUUAAUGAAGCACAAGUCUGAAACGUUUGAAAAGUUCAAGCGAUUUCAGAGUGAAGUUAAGAAUCAUCAUAACAAUAAGAUCAUGUUCCUACGAUCUGAUCAAAAGGGGAUUUUCUGAGUUAUGAGUUUGGCAAUCACUUAAGACAUUGUGGAAUUGUUUCACAGUUGAAACCACCUGGAACACCACAAGGUAAUGGUGUAUCCGGACGUCGAAAUCGAACACUAUAAGAUAUGGUGCGAUCUAUGAUAUCUCUUACCAAUCUACCGUUUUCAUUUUGAGGUUAUGCGUUAGAGACAGCUGCAUUCACUUUAGAUAGGACACCAUCUAAGUCCGUUGAGACGACGUCGUAUGAACAUUGGUUUGGCAAGAAACCAAAGUUGUCGUUUCUUAAUGUUUGGGGCUGCGAUGCUUAAGGCUUCAGCCGGAGAAGCUCGAACCCAAAGCGGACAAACACAUCUUCAUAAGAUACCCAAAGGUGACAGUAGGGUAUACCUUCUAUCUCAGAUCCGAGGGCAAAUUGUUUGUCACUAAGAACGGGUCCUUUCUCGAGAAGGAGUUUCUCUUGAAAGAAUUGAGUGGGAGGAAGAUAGAACUUGAUGAGGUUGUCGAACCUUUACUUCAACCAGAGAGUGAUGCAACACAGAAAGAUGUUUUCUGUGGCGCCUACGUCUGCUGAAGAGGAAGUUAAUGAUAGUGAUCAUGAAGCUUCGGAUCAAGUUGCUAUCGAACCUCGUAGGUCGACAAGGAUAUGUACUACUCCUGAGUGGUACGGUAAUCCUGUCUUAGAUAUCAUGUUGUUAGACAACAAUGAACCUACGAGCUAUGGAGAAGCGAUGGUGGGCCUGUAUUCCGACAAAUGGUUAGAAGCCAUGAAAUCAGAGAUAGGAUCCAUGUAUCAGAACAAAGUAUGGACUUUGGUGGACUUGGCCGAUGAUCGGCAAGCCAUUGAGAAUAAAUGGAUCUUUAAGAAGAAGACGGACAUGGACGGUAAUGUUACCGUCUAUGAAGCUCGACUUGUGGGAAAUAGUCUUUUCACAAGUUCAAGGAGUUGACUACGAUGAGAAUUUCUCACCCGUAGCGAUGCUUAAGUCCGUCGGAAUCAUGAUAGCAUUAGCUGUAUUUUUCGAUUAUGAAAUCUUAUAGAUGGAUGUCAAAACAAGUUUUCUUACCAGUUUUCGUAAGAAAAGUUGUAUGUGAUACAAUAAAAGGUUUUGUCGAUCCUAAGGAUGCUAAAAGGUAUGCUGGCUCCAGCAAUCCUUCUAUGGACUAGAGCAAGCAUCUCGGAAUCGGAAUAUAUGUUUUGAUGGAGUGAUCAAAGCUUUUAGGUUUAUACAAUGUUUGCUAGAAACUUGUAUUUACAAGAAAGUGAGUGGUAGCACUACAACAUUUCUGAUAAGUAUAUGUGGAUGACAUAUUGUUGAUCCGAAAUAAUGUAGAAUUUCUGGAAAGCAUAAACGGUUGUUUGAAGAGUGUUUUUCAAAGGAAGACCUGGAUAAAGCUGCUUACAUAUUGGGCAUCAAGAUCUAUAGAGAUGGAUCAAGACGCCUAAUGGUACUUUCAAAGAACGCACACCUUGACAUGUUUUUGAAGGAGUUCAAAAUAGAUCAGUCAAAGAAGGGGUUCUUACCUGAGUUGUAAGGUGUGAAGUUGAGUAAGACUCAAAGCUUGAGCACGGCAUAAGAAAGAGAAAGGACGAAGGUCGUCCCCUAUGCUUUUGUCAUAGGCUCUAUACGGUAUGCCAUGCUGAAGUACCGCACCUGAUGUGUGCCUUGCCACAUGUCUGGUAGGAGGGUACAAAGGUGAUCUAGGAGUAAAUCACCAGAUAGCGGUCAAAAUUAUCCUUAAAGGAAUAAGGAAGUGUUUCUCGGUUAUGGAGGUGAUAAGGAGUUCGACGUAAAGAGUUACGUCGAUGCAAGCUUAACACCUAUCCGGAUAGCUCUAAGUAGAGAUACCGGAUACGUAUAAUGGAGCAACAAUUUGGAAUAGCUCCAAGUGGAAUGUGGCAGCAGCAUCUACGAUAUAAAGUUUUGCGAAAUACAUAGGGAUCUGAAUAUGGCAAGACCCGUUGACUACAACCUCUCUCACAAGCAUAACAUGAUCAAACCCAGAACUCUUUGAGUGUUUAUCACGUAGUGAUGUGAACUAGAUCAUUGAGUCUAGUAGACUCUUGGAUGUUGGUCACAUGGCGAUGUGACCUGUGAGUGUUAAUCACAUGGCGAUGUGAACUAGAUUAUUGUCUCUAGUGCAAGUGGGAGACUAUUGGAAAUAUGCCCUAGAGGCAAUAAUAAAUUAGUUAUUAUUAUAUUAUAUUUCAUUGUUCAUGAUAAUCGUUUAUUAUCCAUGCUAGAAUUGUAUUGAUAGGAAACUCAGAUACAUAUGUGGAUACAUAGACAACACCAUGUCCCUAGUAAGCCUCUAGUUGACUAGCUCAUUGAUCAAUAGAUGGUUAUGGUUUCCUGACCAUGGACAUUGGAUGUCGUUGAUAACGGGAUCACACCAUUAGGAGAAUGAUGUGAUGGACAAGACCCAAUCCUAAGCCUAGCACAAAGAUCGUGUAGUUCGUAUGCUAAAGCUUUUCUAAUGUCAAGUAUCAUUUCCUUAGACCAUGAGAUUGUGUAACUCCCGGAUACCGUAGGAAUGCUUUGGGUGUACCAAACGUCACAACGUAACUGGGUGGCUAUAAAGGUUCACUACAGGUAUCUCCGAAAGUGUCUGUUGGGUUGGCACGAGUCGAGACUGGGAUUUGUCACUCCGUGUAAACGGAGAGGUAUCUCUGGGCCCACUCCGUAGGACAUCAUCAUAAUGUGCACAAUGUGAUCAAGGAGUUGAUCACGACAUGAUGUGUUACGGAACGAGUAAAGAGACUUGCCGGUAACGAGAUUGAACAAGGUAUCGGGGUACCGACGAUCGAAUCUCGGGCAAGUAUCGUACCGAUGGACAAAGGGAAUUGUAUACGGGAUUGAUUGAAUCCUUGACAUCGUGGUUCAUCCGAUGAGAUCAUCGUGGAGCAUGUGGGAGCCAACAUGGGUAUCCAGAUCCUGCUAUUGGUUAUUGACCGGAGAGUUGUCUCGGCCAUGUCUGCAUGACUCCCGAGCCCGUAGGGUCUACACACUUAAGGUUCGAUGACGCUAGGGUUAUAGGGAAUAGAUGUACGUGGUUACCGAAUGUUGUUCGGAGUCCCGGAUGAGAUCCCGGACGUCACGAGGAGUUCCGGAAUGGUUCGGAGGUAAAGAUUUAUAUAUGGGAAGUCAUCAUACGGUCACCAGAAUAAUUCGGGGGUUACCGGUAUUGUAUCAGGACCACCGGAGGGGUUCCGAGGGUCCACUGGGAGGGUCCACCUGCCCCGGAGGGCCCUAUGGGCUGUAUGUGGAGAGGGACCAGCCCCUUAGUGGGCUGGGCACCUCCCCCCCGAGGGCCCAUGCGCCUAGGGUUUGGGGGAACCCUAAAGGGGGAGCGCCCCCCUUGCCUUGGGGGGCAAGGCAACCCCCCUUGGCCGCCGCCCCCUCCUCAAAUUGGAUCUGAGGGGGCCGGCCCCCCUCUCCCUUGCCCCUAUAUAUAUGUGGGGGUUGGGAGGGCAGCCGCACCCAAGUUCUGGCGCUGCCCUCCCCCUCUCCCAAGUCCCCCUCUUCUCCUACGGUGCUUGGCGAAGCCCUACAGGAUUACCACGCUCCUCCUUCACCACCAUGCCGUCGUGCUGCUGCUGGAUGGAGUCUUCCCCAACUUCUCCUUCUCCCCUUGCUGGAUCAAGGCGUAGGAGACGUCACCGGGCUGUACGUGUGUUGAACGCGGAUGUGCCGUCCGUUCGGCACUAGGAUCAUCGGUGAUUUGGAUCACGACGAGUACGACUCCAUCAACCCCGUUCACUUGAACGCUUCUGCUUAGCGAUCUACAAGGGUAUGUAGAUGCACUCCCCUUCCCCUCAUUGCUAGAUUACUCCAUAGAUUGAUCUUGGUGAUGCGUAGAAAAUUUUAAAUUUCUGCUACGUUCCCCAACAGGAAGAAGCGAGAUUUCCGCAACCUCACCCAAGGCAACAAUACUGUAGAUGCUUAUCAGCGGGAAUUUCUGGACUUGUCUCGUUAUGCUAAAGAAGACAUCGCAACUGAUGCUCAUAGUCAAGAAAAGUUCCGUGCUUCACCCUGAUAUUAAGCUAGCACUGCUCGCUCAUGACUUUGCCGACUUCGCCACCUUGGUGAACAAGGCUAUUCAGGUUGAGACUAGUCUUCAGGAACACCAGGGAUCACUUAGGCGCAGCCGUGACGCUGGCUCGUCUUCGGGCCCGUCAACGCAGAAGCAUCAGAUAUGGAUUCCCCACAGCAUGUAUCGUCCAGCUGCACCUGCACCAAGAUAGUCCUAUGCCGCACCUCGUCUGCCUCCUCCAUCGCAGAGGCAGCCCCUUCGGGUUGUACCACCCCAAGCUUCUACUCCCAAUCCCAAUGAUGGUCUGUGCUUCAAGUGUGGCCUUCCGAGCCAUCGUUCCAGGAACUGCCCUUAGAAUCAGAAUCAGCUAGCUCUGCCUUCUAAUGCUCGUGGUAUCAACCAACCCCGUAACCACAAUGCCAGACCUUAUGGUCAUGGUCAUGCUAAUCAUGUUGAUCUGAAUGAAGCUCAAGACCGACCUGCCACUUUGAUGGGUACUCUUCUCGUUAAUUCAGUACCGGCAUCUGUUUUAUUUGAUUCAGGGGCAUCACAUUCAUUCAUGUCAGAAAAUUUUGCAUAUGCACACGACAUUCGAUGCGAGCCCAUGAACACUCCGAUAGUGGCACGCACCCCUGUGGGUCAGUGUUGAACUACCAUGAUUGGUCGCGACGUCCCCCUUGAAAUUGAAGGGUUGGAAUUUCAUGUUUCCCCCAUUAUUCUGGAGUCUUCCAAUAUUGACCUCAUUUUGGGAAUGGAAUGGUUGAAAGCGCAUACUGCUUCUAUCGUUUGCGCCACCAAGGUUGUUCACCUCCUACAUCCUUCCGAUGAGAUAGUAAGCGACCAUGCGCAGAUUGUUCGAAACACUGAAGCACGACUUUAUGCUUUGAAUGCGUUGAACGCAGCACCUCUUGAGGGAAUUGAAAAGAUUCCAGUUGUUCGCGACUUCCUAGACGUCUUUCCAGAAGAACUUCCAGGAAUACCUCCUACUCGGGCUGUCGAGUUCAUCAUCGACUUGAAACCAAGCACCGUUCCUAUUGCCAAAUGACCCUACAAGAUGCCGCCUCAUGAACUCCUUGAACUUAAGGAGGAAAUUGACAAAUCUCUUCGCAGUGGUUUCAUUCGUCCAAGUUCCUCAGCUUGGGGAGCACCUUCUCUCUUUGUAAAGAAGAAGGAUGGAACGAAUCGUUUGGUCCAAGACUACCGUCCUAUCAACCAAGCUACAAUUCAGAACAAAUAUCCCCUUCCUCGGAUCAGUGAUCUGUAUGAUCAACUUGCUAGUUCAUCAAUAUUCUCUAAACUCGACUUGAGGUUGGGUUACCACCAGAUCCGUGUUCGUGAAGAGGAUAUUCCAAAGACCGCAUUCGUCACUCGUUAUGGUUCUUAUGAGUACACCGUCAUGUCUUUUGGCUUGAGCAAUGCUCCAGCCACAUUCUCUCGUCUGAUGAACUACAUAUUCAUGGAUUACCUCGACAAGUUCGUCGUAGUCUAUCUGGAUGAUAUUCUGGUAUAUUCGAAGAACAAAGAAGAACAUGCUGAACAUCUUCAACUUGUUCUAGAGAAGCUUCGAGAACAUCAACUUUAUGCCAAGUAUUCCAAGUGCGAAUUCUUGUUACCCGAAGUCACCUACCUUGGUCAUGUCAUCUCCAAAGAUGGUAUUGCCGUCAACCCAGAGUGCGUUCAGGCUGUUCUUGACUGGACCCCUCCGAAGACUGUCAAGCAAGUCAGAAGCUUUCUCAGACUUGCCAGUUAUUGCUGCCGUUUCGUCGAGAACUUCUCCAAGAUUGCCAAGCCACUGACCAACUGCUACACAAAGGCGUUAAGUUUGAUUGGACUGAAAAGUGUCAGGAAAGUUUCCAGGCACUCAAGGACAAGCUGACUUCUGCCCCAGUGCUUGCUCCCCCUGAUUCUCGCAAGGACUUUGUCAUCUAUUGCGACGCUUCACGUCAAGGAUUAGGCUGUGUCCUAAUGCAAGAGCGCAGGGUGAUUGCUUAUGCCUCCCGUCAAGUAUGUCCUCACGAAGAGAACUACCCAGUUCAUGACCUUGAGCUUGCUGCGGUUAUGUAUGCAUUGAAGCUAUGGCGACAGUACCUUCUCGAUAAUCGUUGCAAGAUCUUCACCGAUCAUCAGAGUCUGAAGUACCUGUUUACUCAGGCAUAUCUGAACCUCCGCCAACAGUGAUGGAUGGAAGCUAUUGCUGACUACAACUGCGGUAUAUCCUAUACCCCUGGCAAGGCUAAUGUAAUGGCCGAUGCCUUGAGCCGUAAGUCUUAUUGCAACAAUUACAUGGUUUUCAAAGCUCAACCCCAUCUUUAUGAAGAGCUAUGCAAGCUGAACCUCCAACUAGUUCCACAGGGUACUCUGAAUAACCUUGUCUUGGAACCAACUCUUCUGAAAGCAAUUAAGUCUGCUCAAGCCAAAGAUGCUCAUGUUGAUCUGAUGAAAAAGGAUCUUGCCUUAGAGAAAUCAAGAGAUUUCUCACUUGGUGAAGAUGGAACAUUAUACUUAAGAGAUCGCAUUGUCGUACCCCGGUUCGAGCUUAUGACAGAGAAGGUGAUGAAAGAAGCGCAUGACACCCCUCUCUCUAUUCAUCCGGGAAGUACCAAGAUGUACUUAGACAUUCGUUAGAAGUAUUGGUGGUCCAAGAUGAAGCAAGAUAUUGCUCGGUAUAUCGAAGAAUGUGACGUUUGUCGUCGCGUCAAAGAAGAACAUCAGAAACCGGCUGGACUUCUACAACCGCUUCCGAUUCCUGAAUGGAAGUGGGAUAAGAUUCAGAUGGACUUCGUCAUUGGCCUUCCCAAGUCUCAGAAAGGUAACGAUGCUAUCUUUGUCGUCAUCGACCAAUUAUCGAAGGUUGCUCACUUUGUACCAGUCAAGGAGACUAUCACUGCUAGUCAAUUAGCAAGCUUGUAUAUCUCCCGAAUUGUGUCACUCCACGGUAUUCCGAAGGAGAUCAGUUCAGACCGUGGCAGUUUAUUCACUUCGAAAUUCUGGGAUAGUUUCCAAGAGGCAAUGGGAACUCAUAUUACCUGGAGCACUGCUUAUCAUCCCCAAUCCCAAGGCCAAGUCGAGCGAGUCAAUCAAAUUCUUGCAGACAUGCUUCGGGCUUGUGUUAUUUCUUUCGGUAAGAAGUGGGAAGAAUCUCUCCCUUAUGCAGAGUUCUCUUAUAACAACAGCUAUCAAGCCAGCUUGAAGAUGGCACCCUUCAAAGUGCUUUAUGGACGUAAGUGCCGAGCCCCUCUGAAUUGGUCAGAAACUGGGGAACGGACGCUCAUUGGUCCAGACAUUAUUCAACAAGCUGAAGAGCAUGUUCGCAUUGUACGGGAUAAUCUCAAGGCGGCCCAGUCCCGCCAAAAGAGCAACUAUGACCGAAAACACUGGGGUUCAACUUAUCAACCUGGUGAACAAGCUUAUCUGCGUGUCACUCCUUUGAGAGGCACUCAUCGGUUCGGAGUCAAGGGCAAGCUAUCUCCGCGCUACAUUGGUCCCUUCCGCAUCCUCGCCCGUCGUGGACUGGUGGCUUAUCAACUGGAGUUGCCACCUCAGUUCUCUCAUGUUCAUGAUGUCUUCCAUGUGUCGCAACUUCGUCAAUGCUUCAAGGAUCCAGAAUGUGAAGUGGAUCCGGAAUUGAUUGAAGUUCAAGAUGAUCUCACAUACAAAGAGCAUCCUAUCCGCAUUCUUGAAGAGGCUGAACGUCGAACCCGCCAGAAGGUUACCAAGUUUCUCAAGGUGCAAUGGUCGAAUCAUACUAAAGAUGAAGCCACUUGGGAACGCGAAGAUAACCUCCGGGCUGAAUACCCCGACCUAUUCCCUUCUACCUCUUAAUUCUCGGGACGAGAAUUUCUUUUAGAAGAGGAGAGUUGUAACACCCCGGCAUAAUGAUGCUACAGUAAUCCCAGAGAUCAAGUUAAUCAUUUUGCUAUAACAGUGCUUAGCCACUUUAAUCAAUAUUUCAUUGCAAAUUCCAGUUGAAUUCAAUCUCAAAUUGUGUGUGAAUUUCAAAAAAAUACUCAAACAUGAAAACUAAAAUGUUCAUCAUGUGUAAAAUAUUCUCCUGGUAAUAUUGGUGGUGAACCAACUUUUUUGCAAAAUGCCUAUGUGGCCUAAAAUAGCUAAAACAGAAAAGCUUAAAAAAAGAAAAAGAAAAGGAGAAAAGGGAGAGGAAGGAGAAAUGCCCCCUCCCCCACUAAUUCCCCUAGGCCUCGGCCCACCCCUCCACCCGAGCCAGCCCACCUAACCCCCCACGGCCCAACUCCCUGCACCGGUUGCCUCCCCCUCCUUCCUGUUCCUCGGACUCGGCCGCUACAGGGCGCUCCCGCCCACGGUCGGCGCUGCACAACCUUGUCGACGAUGCGGGAGAGGACAAGGCCGCCCUGACACCUCGGCCUCCACCCAUCUCUUCCACUUGCUCCCUCUCUCUCCGCCUCUCCCUCUCCCCACCAGCUCUCCUCUCCUCUCGCUCGCUCGCUCCUCCCCCCUCUGCCCGAGCGCGCCCGCCACCGUGCCUCGCCCGGCCUCGCGGCAACCGAGCCCCGUUCGCCUCACCGUCGUGCCCAUCGUCUCCGCCGUCGUCGUCUACCCCGUCCACGUUCAUGAGUGCGAGCCGGGAGCCACUGCAGCGAGCCUGGCAACCUCUUCUUCCCCUAUGGCCGUCUUCACCUUCGUUGCUGAUUCAUCGCCGUCGAUCUUCCCCGAGCCCACCUGAGCCCACCUACAAGGCCAACGUGAGCAUGCGCCUCUUUCCCCUCUCUUCCCCGCGCGUUUCCGGCGCCGUAGCUCCUUCUCCCCAUCGUGCCCGAACGCGGCUCCGCGCGAGCUCAUCGCCGGCGUAGCCACGGCGACCAUAGGGUCCAGUGCGUGCCACCAUCACGCUCACCACACCGCGUAGGCCUCGUCUAGACGCUUGGGUUGCCCGCAAACGCACCCCAGCCCCAUUCCCGACGAUGAUCGAAGUCCGGCGUCUGCCUCGCCGCUGGCCGUCGACGUUCCUGACCACCGCAGCCUCUGCCACUACCCCAGAUCGCCUCGUCAUCGUCUUCUUGUUCGAACGAGCCCGGCCGCGCUGAAAACGGUGUCCUGUAUCACCAUCCUCGUCGUCGUCCAAGCGCGACAGCCGCCCUCGCUGCUCGUCGGCGCCGCUCCGGCCAACUCCGGCGACGCCACCGCCCCCAGUCGACGCGCCGUCGUGCGCGUGUUCGAACGGUGCCAACCGCACGUGAAACGGCCGCCCCUAGCACGUUUCCAAUGAGGCCCGGGUGCCCCCGCCAUGUUCUGACGUCACCGGUGGCGAAACGCCGGCCGCCAUCUAUGUGGUUGGCCUGGGGCCACCCCAGUGCAACUGCUAGUGGGCCCCACGGGUCCCAGUUAACUGGGUUGACCCAGUCAACUGCUGACCAGGCAGCCAGUGCCACUGACACACGGGCCCCACCAUCUGUUUUAAUUAAUUAAAAUGUUUUAAAUAUCUAAAACCUAAUUAGUUACUAAUUAGAGACUGACAUGUGGGGCCCAGUAGCUAUUUAAGCUCAGUUUAGUUUAAUAUAAACUCUGUUAAUUACAAUGGCUGACAUGUGGGCACUACAUGUAUGGUUUGACUGGUCAGCCGACCUGUUGACCUGCUGAUGUCAGCAUUGCAUCAUGCUGAUGUCAUAUUUCCCUUUCUGUUAAUUUAAAUAAUUCCAGGAUAUUGUUUAAAUCUUUAGAAAUUCAUAGAAAUUAAACCGUAGCUCGGAUGAAAAUGUUUUCUAUAUGAAAGUUGCUCAGAAAAAUCCAACAAAUCCAAAUGCGCGGUCCAUUCACCUGUCACAUGCCCCUAGCAUGCUGAACAUGGAACCUUCCCCUCUCUUUCAUCUGUCUGGAAUCCGCCUAACGCCUGGAAUUCAUCCUCGGAUGUUUAUCCCCUCCGUCUGCAACAUGUAGUACUACGUUAGGGCAACCCUAGCUCUGCCCGUCGUCAUGUUAUGCCUUGUGAUGCAUUGUUUGCUCUGUAUUUACUUUUUCUUCCCCCUCUUCUCUCUGGUAGACCCCGAGACCGAUGAUGCCGCUAUGAUCGACUACAUCACCGACGACCCCUCCUUCUUGUCUGAGCAACCAGGCAAGCAAACCCCCCUUGAGCAUUCCGAUAUCGCCUAUUUCUUUCCCUCUCAUGCUUGGAUUAGAACUGCUACUGCUUUCUUUAUGAUCCUACUCUGAUGCAUAGCCUGUUGUUGUUACCUGCUUUUAUACCUUACCUGCUUAUCCUAAACUGUUUAGUAUAGGUUGAUUAGUGAUCCAUCAGUGACCCCCACCUUGUCCCAGUUGCCCUGCUUUAUGUUCGAUGACUCGAUCAACGUGAUCGACGUCCAGGCCCCGACACCGCACAUCACCCCCUAGUUGUACGACUCUACAGAGUUACCAUCGAGUGCCGGGGGUGGAACCUCAUACAUCACUCCUGAUGAGACCUCUGUAGUGUAGCUAAUCGGUCGUGGUCAUCGAGGGUGAUUUCCUCCUUAACCACUUCCGAUACGGCUCUGUCGUGCAACCCCUCAAGUGUGAACCUCGAGGGGGGAUUGAGGGAGUCCUGGAUUAGGGGGUGUUCGGGUAGUCGGACUAUACUUUCAGCUGGACUCCUGGACUAUGAAGAUACAAGAUUGAAGACUUCGUCCUGUGUCCGGAUGGGACUUUCCUUGGCGUGGAAGGCAAGCUUGGCGAUGCGGAUAUUCAAGAUCUCCUACCAUUGUAACCGACUCUAUGUAACCCUAACCCUAUCCGGUGUCUAUAUAAACCGGAGGGUUGUAGUCCGUAGGCAAUCAACUCCAUAUACAACAAUCACACCGUAGGCUAGCUUCUAGGGUUUAGCCUCCUUGAUCUCGUGGUAGAUCUACUCUUGUACUACCCAUAUCAUCAAUAUUAAUCAAGCAGGACGUAGGGUUUUACCUCCAUCAAGAGGGCCCGAACCUGGGUAAAACAUCAUGUUCCCUGCCUCCUGUUACCAUCCGACCUAGACGCACAGUUCGGGACCCCCUACCCGAGAUCCGCCGGUUUUGACACCGACAUUGGUGUUUUAUUGAGAGUUCCUCUAUGUCGUCGCCUUUAGGCCCGAUGGCUCCUUUGAUCAUCAACAACGAUACGGUCCAGGGUGAGACUUUUGUCCCCGGACAGAUCCUCGUCUUCGGCGGCUUCGCUCUGCGGGCCAAUUCGCUCGGCCACCUGGAGCAGAUCGAAAGCUACGCCCCUGGCCAUCAAGUCAGGUUUGGAAGCUUAAACUACAUGGCUGACAUCCGCGGAGACUUGAUCUUCGACGGGUUCGAGCCACGGCCAAGCGCGCCGCACUAUCUCGAGGGGCAUGAUCUAGCUCUACCUCCGGACAGUGUCCUGGAGGCCGCACACGCAUCAGUUCCGACCCCUAACUCGGAGCCUAUUGCGCCAAUCGAGGAUGAGCGGUUGGACGUCACCUCGGGGGCUUCGAUCUCAAAGGCGAUCGAGCCGAACGCUAGCCCCGCACUCGGCAUGAUCCGUGACUCUGAGGAUCCGGACUCCUUUCUGAACUCCGAACCCCCCGCGCCCCUGCCGAUCGAAUCCGAUUGGGCUCCGAUAAUGGAGUUCACCGCCGCAGACAUCUUUCAGCACUCGCCUUGUGGAGAUAUCCUGAACUCUCUCAAGUCUCUCUCCUUAUCAAGAGAGCCUUGGCCGAACUACGGUCAGCGAGGAUGGGAUACGGACGAUGAAGAAAUUCAAAGCCCACCUACCACCCACUUGGUAGCCAUUGUCGACAAUUUAAACGACGUGCUCAACUUCGACUCCGGAGACAUCGACAGCAUGGAUGACGAUGCAGGAGAUACCGACGAACCAACGCCCAUAGGGCAUUGGACAGCCACCUCAUCUCACGAUGUGUACAUGGUGGAUACCGCUAAAGGAAGUGACACCGAGGAAAAAGGGGAUGGGACGGGAGAUCGACCCCCCGAAAAGCAAUCAAAGCAUCGGCGUAAACGCCGACCCAAGCCCCGCCUCGACAAAAACCCAGCCAUAGAGCAGGACGAGCCGGUAGACGACGAGCAGGCCUUAGAGCAACCGUCCGAACAGGGCAACACGGAUAGAGAAACCAAACAUCCCUCCUCCGGCGAAAACGGCAUUCUGGACGACCUCACGCCGAAUAAACCUAUGGAGCAGAAGAAUCUCCACGAGAGGCUCAUUGCAACUGCACAAAGCCUAAAAAAGCAGAAGCGGAAGCUAAAAACAACGGAAGAUGCUCUCCAGAUUAAAUGUAGCAAAGUAAUCAAUACCACAGAUAAAUACGGCGACAGUCGCCGCACUAAAAGCUAUCCGAAAAGAAAGCUACUGCCUGAAUUCGACGAAGAGGCCCUAGAGCCCUCGCAUUCAAAAAAUGAAAAAGCCACACGGUCGGAUAGACGACCCCAUAAAGCCGCAAGUGGCGCCGCACCUAAAUCGGCAUGCGACCCACUUAAGGAUUCGCAUCAUGGCCCAGUCAGGUCCAUUUAUGGGCCAAGAAAGCAAGCUCUCGUAAGCAACGCUAUGAAGCCAUCAUCAGAAUCUGGUACACCCAAAUACAGGGGCGCCGCACACCCCCUAUGUUUCACCGAUGAGGUCCUGGACUAUGAAUUUCCAGAGGGAUUCAAACCCGUAAACAUAGAGGCAUAUGAUGGAACAACAGACCCUGGAGUUUGGAUCGAGGAUUAUAUCCUCCACAUACACAUGGCUAGAGGAGAUGAUCUCCACGCCAUAAAAUAUUUACCCCUUAAGCUUAAAGGGCCAGCCCGGCAUUGGCUUAAAAGCCUUCCCGAAAACACAAUUGGAAGCUGGGAAGAGCUCGAGGAUGCUUUCCGAGCAAACUUUCAAGGGACCUAUGUCCGCCCUCCAGAUGCAGACGAUCUUAGUCACAUAACUCAACAACCCGGAGAAUCAGCUCGGCAGUUCUGGAAUAGAUUCCUCACUAAAAAGAAUCAGAUUGUCGACUGUCCGGACGCCGAAGCCUUAGCAGCUUUCAGGCACAACGUCCGAGACGAAUGGCUCGCCAGACACCUUGGCCAAGAAAAGCCAAGAACAAUGGCCGCACUAACAAGCCUCAUGACCCGCUUUUGUGCAGGGGAGGAUAGCUGGUUGGCAAGGUGCAGCCCCAGCGACCCAAGUACAUCCGAAACUAGGGAUGGAAACGGAAAACCGCGACGCAACAAGGACCGUCGCUGGACUAAGGACAAAAGUCCGAAUAGCACGGCAGUCAAUGCCGGAUUCAAAGGCUCACGACAAAAUCAGGCAAAAUCGCCCCCAGGACAACAGGGACGAUCCAUCCAACCUAAAUAAAAUCCUGGACAGGAUAUGUCAGAUACACAGUACUCCCGGGAAGCCUGCUAACCAUACCCACAGAGACUGUUGGGUUUUCAAACAAUCCGGCAGACUCAAUGCCAAACACAAGGGGCUCGACACACCAAGCGAAGACGAGGACGAACCCCAAAAGCAGAGCACCAGGAAACAAAAGAACUUCCCACAAGAAGUAAAAACAGUGAAGUCACUUCACAUAACAAAACAUGCGGCGCCCGUAAAGGUACGCACCACACGACCCAUCCCCAAAGGGUCCUGCCACUGGUUGUCAAAACCGAUCAUCUUCGAUCAGCUAGAUUAUUCUAGAAAUACCAAGAAUGUAGGCUGGACUGCCUUGAUACUCGAUCCAAUAAUUGGUGGACUCCAGUUUUCAAAUGUCCUUAUGGACGGCGGCAGUGGACUAAACCUGAUGUAUCAGGAUACAAUCCAGCACAUGAGGAUAAACCCAGCAAGAAUCCGCCGCAGCAAAACCUCCUUUCAAGGGGUAAUACCCGGUCCGGACACCCAUUGUAUGGGUUUCCUCUGGCUCGAAGUCAUAUUCGGCUCUGCCGAUAACCUCCGCCGCGAAAAGCUAACCUUCCAUAUCGUCCUAUUCUCAAGUCGCUAUCAAGCACUACUGGGACGCGAAGCUUUCGCUCGCUUUAACGCAAUACCGCAAUAUGCAUCUCUUACGCUUAAGAUGCCCGGUCCACAAGGCAUCAUCUCUUUGAAGGGGAAGCACUAAAGUGCACCUCCCCAAGCGGAGGACUGUGCGGCCGCUUUGACAGCCCCACAGCAAAAUGGCCUCACCAGCCAAAAAACUUCGAAAUAGGUCAUUCAAGACCAUGAACGCGGAUAGACGAGUUCGGUGCAAAAUCAUCAUUGAUGCAGGCCUAGAAGCCAUAUACCCCCGCACUAGGGGCUCCACGCAUAUACAAUAAGAGACAAUAAAACUCAAUCUUAUAUAUUUUACUUUAUACUUUGCUUAUUUUAAACUUUUUCGGCAUGACCCGUUUUCAACUCAGUUCCUCUCUUUUACAGAUGAACGUCGUGCGGCGCCCGUCCAGGAUACGGCACAACGGAGACACAGGCGCAAACGUGCAGUAGGGACCUGUCCUAAAGGAUUCUUUUUAGAUUAAGACCAUGCGUAAACCUUUUUUACUGUCUCUUGUUGCUACACAUCCCCUAGUUUUUUCUUUCUGAUAUAACCAAGGAGGAGGCUGGCGUCUUGGCAUGUGGCCAUGUCAGAAUUUUUGCACGUACCUGGACACUAGGGGCUUUUUUUAGUGUUGUUUCGCCCGCACUCAUAAAGACCGAACACCUUAGGGAGUGUUCGGCGUCGCGAUUUUUGGCAUUAUAUGCAUCAGCUCUGAAUCAUGUCUUUGGUCAAAUGUUGGGUUGCCCGGCUCCUGAGUUUGGCUACCUUACGUUCCGCUCUAUCGGCUAAGGUAGCACCAGGAGAACUACUGCGAUUGUGCCCCGAUUCGGCCGGGCGAGCACCUCAGUAGAGAAAGCCGAAAACUGACUGUCAUGAUGUAGCGUGAGACUGGUCAGCCACUCGAUGACCUAUCGGAAUCUAUCGGAUUCCUCCGCUUUAACGAAGGGCCGCUUCCCGGUCAGGCACAUACGCGCCCCGAACUCGGACGAGCGCAGUUGCCACCAAGGGGCUACCUAAAUAGUCUCACUGUCAAACUCCUAUGGCUAAGUGAAAGUGUUAAAGCAUUAUAGUCCGGUUUCCUGGCCCGCUGCGCUAUCACCUCCUUUGUAGGACCAAGACGUUGGGUUAAGUGUGAAAAUGCGUCUUCUGCGAGCACCCCCGCACUAUGUGCGUG